UACCCUACCAUAGAGUGGCAAUGCUAGCCAUUGAAGACGGGUCAAUUUGGAAAAUGUCUCUUUUGGUAUUAUUAUCUUUCGUCUUAAACUCCGACACUCGUCCAAGUUAAGCCUUUCGAGGUUGACCAGUGACUCCCAACCUUCAGGUAAAUCCUCAAUCUUAGUGGAGGAUAGGUCCAAAUCCCUCAAUUGCUUGAGCUUUCCCAGUGGUGGCACAGAUUGGAGGUCACUACAAGACCUCAAAAUCAGGGCAGUAAGAUUCACCAUGUCCGAAACAGAAUUAGGCAACUCUGUUAUACCUUUGCACAAAGAUAGAUUCAAAACUUUAAGUCCACACAUGUGCCGAAAGAAUGAAUCUGGGAUUUCUUUUAUGGAAACCCAAGAAAGAAGCAAGGUCGAGAGCUUAGGACAAUUUGGUGACCAGGCUGGUGGAAUUUCUAUUUCUUUGAAAUUUUGUGAAUAGAAGGAAACCGCAUGGAGAUCUUCUGUCCAAUUUUGUGUUACUUUAGAAUUUCCCUUUCCCAAGCUUUUCACCAAGAAUCGUGGUACAUCAUCUCUGCUGCUCUCUGGUUUGGAGUUUCCAUGCGUGAUCCUUAUUGCCAUAUCUCUGACCAAAUCAUGCAUCUUCACACAGUCAUCUGUAGUUUUUUCCAGCAAGCAAACUCUAAUCAGUUUGUUUAAUAUUGUGUGACCUUGAUCAAAUUCUUCUGACCAUGAUUCCCGUUUUGACAUCAGCUCUGCCCUAAUAAACAGGACUAUUAGUUCCUUUCUUUUUAUAUCACUAUCUUCCGGAUAAAGACAGCAAUACAAGAAGCAAUUCCUUUCAUAUUUAUCCAGGCGAUCGAAACUCCGUUCCAGGAUGCGAGACACCUUUUCUUCCAUCUUACCGUGCUCUACUCUAUUCAAGUCUACCAAUGCAUUUCUCCACUCAUGGAUGUCGGUCACACCUAUCAUGCUCCCAGCCAUUACGACAAUACCAAGAGGCAAACCACCACACCUUUUCGCAACGGACUUGGCAGUAUCUUUCAAACCUCCGUCAAGCACGGUCUCGCUGCCAAGUGUACGCUCGAACAAACCCCAAGCUUCCUCUGUGUCCAAAGUUUUCAAUUCAAAUUUGCUUUGGCAUCGCAUGCGGUUGCACACUUCUAAUGAGCGUGUAGUCAAAAUCAGUCUGCAAUUUCUUGCACCAAUCCCUAAGCUGUUUAAACGAAAUUCUUCCCAAACAUCAUCCAAUAUGAGCACUACCAUUUCCUCCAUUUUCUCGAAUGUGUCACCCAACUUACGUGCCCUCACUUUUUCAUCAUCCUCGUGUGACAGAUCAAGCCCUAAGCGUUUAGCAACGUCACCUUGCAGCCCUUUGAUGGUAAAAUCUUGGGAGACAGAAACCCAAUAAACCCUUAAGGAUUGAGUAUUCUUAAGGAGGUGAUUAUGGAUGUGUUCCGCCAAUGUAGUCUUACCCACGCCACCCAUCCCCCAGAUCCCAAUCCUUAAGAUCUCAUUGGUGUCCAACUUUUCUCCAAUCCUUAAGAUGCUUAAGAUAUCUUUCAAAUCUCUGUCAAACUUUUCUCCAAAUAAUUUCGUUGUCACUCGUGGCUUACCUCUGCUCUCAAAAACCCCAAGGCAAAGCUCACCAAAAUCCUUACUUUGCUUAAUAAGGCCUUCUACAGUUGCGUCCAUUUCCGCCACUCUAUCCCCACCGCUAAAUGCAUUUUUCAGAAGACAACCCUGUUCUAUACUCGUUUUCAAUGCACCGAAUUCAUCCUCUAUGUUUGCUACCUUCUCAAACCAGUUCGCAACCUCACUUUUCCUUUUCUUAGUACCUGAUCUUUCUGCAUUUGUCACUUGCGACUCGAGGUCAGAUUUUCUGCCGCUUAAUCCUUCCAACUUCGUUUCUAGCGACCUUAGAUUAUCACGCAAAUAGUACCACUUCUUUGCUUUUUCGAAUGUCAAAUUCCAAAGAUCCGUGGCUAAUUUUCCAAUGCACUCCAUUACCUAUCAAGUGACGAGAGAAUCUCUAAAAAUUCCAGUUAUCAACCAAUAACGUUGUUCAAUAAAGGCAGCAUAAUAAUCCAUUGGAAAAUUUUGAAACAGGGCAUUUCCAAACUUAGUUUGACAAAUUUGAACCCGGUUAGGAAACUAAACAAUUAGCCGAUUAAUGUUGGAUUCUACAUAAUGGUAUCCUCAACUUUUAAUCAACAUUUCAAUGACGCAAAGGCACUAAUAGUAGUAUUAUUAGAAUUUUCUCAAUGUCAAGAUGAAAAGACUUUUCUCAUAUUCAACUAUUUAUCAAAUACAAGUUCUGUCAUAUCACAACUUUCUUGCGCUGAAUGAAAUGUACUUGAAGUAUACAAGCAGAAACACUCUUGGGUAUACAGUAGUAAUUUUAUAUUUUUUGGGUACAACAUGAUGUUUCUUCUCACUAAUAAUUUUUCUUUUUCUUAUUUGUGGCAAAUGGUAUCUUAAUUACUUUUUAAAAUUUUUUUGAUAAAUAAAUUUUAGGUCAAUUGGUGUGUAUGUCGAAUUACUCACCACUCAUUGCGUCUCAUUCGACAAAUACCAAACGACAAAAUAGUCCAAUUACUCAUCUAUGAUUCUUCCCAUUGGCAAAAAAAAUAAAAUAUUUACUACAAUAUGUGGAGAAAUAUCAAUGUGAUAUGAAGAACCAUGUAAAUUGCAUGAAAACCCGCUUCAUUAGUUUUCAAAUAGAUUACUAAGGUAGUUUUUUUUUUCUUUUCUGUCGAUUUUUAAAUUUUGAGUGUAUCAAACCAAAAAAUUUAAAUGAAAUAGGUAACAGGAGUUGCACCCUAAUACAUUAUAAAUUCAUAUUGGUCAAAUUUGAUCCAUACUUAGGUUUCCGACUAAUUUUUUAUUGGAAUCUAUCACGUGCCUUGCACGUGAUCAUUUUUUAAGGAUAAAAUUGUUAAAUUAAUUUUACACAAUUCAAUCCAUAAUCCCUCAUAUUUCUCAAUAUAAAUUUUUUCGUCCUUCACAUUUCAUAAAAUGAAUUUUUUGUCCAUCACAUUUCACAAAAUGAAGUUUUUCAUCACUCACAUUUUACAAAAUAACUUUUUUCAUUCCUCAUUGAUCAUGUGUAUGAAUAUUUUUCUUUAAAUCCAUAUAUAUAACUAUUUAAUUUCACUUGAACAACACAAAUAGCAUGUGUACAACUACAAUUAGGCUAUUUAGACAAAAUUAAAUAAUUUGGACAUUGUCAAGUGUUUUAUAUCGAAUUAAAUUUGAUAAAAAAAUAAUCAAAGAAAAAGUAUGACAAAAAGAAGUAAGUAAUCAGCACUUUCAAAUUUUAAGACAAUCACAAAUAAGUAAUUCAAUUGUUGGUCUUAAAGAUGGCGAGUAGAAGUUUCAAAAUUAAACUGCAAUUCAUUAGCAUGACUAUAGAAUUCAAAUUAGGACUCAUUAAUUAGAUGGCCUUAUUAUACAACUCAAUAAAUGAAGUAUUACAAAAAGAGAAAAGGCCACAAAUAUUGAACAAAUUCACAUGGUGAAAUCAAAUAAAUAUAUUCAUGGGUUAAAAAUAAAAUUGUUAGUUUUAAACCCAUGUAUAUAUCUAUUGAAUAGCAUGUGAAUAAUUACAAUUAACUUGUUGAAGUGAAAUCAAAUAGAGAUAUGUUAUAUGCUAUUCGUAUUAUUCAGGUAAAAUCAAAUAGAUAUAUACGUAGAUUAAAAAAAAACUAUUCAUAUACAUAGUCAAUGAGGGAUAAAAAAUUUUAUUUUAUAAAAUGCGAAGGAUGAAAAAAUUUAUUCUGUAAAAUAUGAGUGACGAAAAAAUUCAUUUUGCGAAAUGUGAGGGACUAUGAGUCAGAUUAUAUAAAAUUGAUUUGACAAUUUUACCCCUAAAAAAUAAUUACAUGCAAGGCACGUAAUGGAUUCCGACUAAAAAUUAGUAGGAAACCUAGGUAGGGACCAAAUUUGAUCAAUAUGAAUUUGUAAGGGACGUAAAACUACACUUUUAAAAGCAAGGGAUGAAAAAAGUUAUUUUAUAAAAUGUAAGGGAUGUUUUGAACAAUUUUCCCUAUAAAAAGCUUGAAGAGGGCACUCUAUGUAUUGAAAGGGCAAAAAAAAGUGAUCAAGAUUUUUUGGCCUUAGAAAUCUAAAUAUACAACUACAAAAAUUUACAAAAUCAAGGUUGAAUGUGAUAUCAUUGUAACUUGAAAUGAGAAAAAGUUAUCUUCAAGAAGUUGAGAACUACAAAACUCUGCCAAAAUAUAAAAGUUUGUAUUAUAUUUCGAUCAUCGCACCAUUGAUUUUGUGGUGUAAAUUUAUCCCACUUGAUGCGGCUAACUUUUUUUUUUUUUUUUAAGUGCAUGAUUCAUCUGUUAAAAAAAUUUCAUCAGGAAAAUGCAUGUUCUUUGUUUGUCCCAAAACAAAAAAGAAAAGAAGAGCUAUGCACGAAAACCUACUUCAUUAGCCUUUGGGUUAGAUACCUUGUGUAAUUUUUUAUUUCAUUAAUUUUAAUUUUGAGUACAUUAAAUUAAAAUUUCAAUUAUGCAUUUUAGUAAAUGAAACUGAUAUGCAACUUUUUUUUAUAACAAAAAAUUUGAUAUGCAUCUGGUGUAAGAAAAUUUUUAUAAAAAUUCAAGAUUUUAUGUAAAAGCUUAUAAAUUAUAAGAUUAAGGCCAAGAUCCGAAUAUGUUUCCACACUCAACAGGAUCAAUUUACUCCUAUAGAUCCAUCCUGUCCCCGGAUCUAGUUUUGGUAGUAUUAGUUAGGUCCAGGUUUGGAUCAUCUCAUUCUGUCCUUUGUUACAAAUUCUUGCCAAGAACUGUCGAUUGUGUAAAAAGCUUGAACAAAGCACUCCGUGUGUUGAAAGAAGAACAAGUGACCAAGAUGUUUGGCCCUCACAAAUCUAACCAUAACAUGAUGAAAUGAGAAACAACUACAAAAAUUUACAGUUUCAAGAUCAAGUUUGUUAUUAUUGUACCUUGAAAUCAAGACAAGUUUUCUUGAAAACUUGAAGAAGUUGAGAACCGCUAGAUCCUGUCAAAAAACAAAAUGUUGUAUUUUAGUUCGGUCUCGCUUUCGGGACUAUAAUUGUUGAGUUUUGAUGAAUGAAUGAUAAUUGAAUCAAGAUGUUGGUGCCAAGCAAAGCUAUCAGUAUAACAUGGUGAAAUAAGAGAAGAACUCCAACAGUUACUAAAUUCCGACGGAUAUGAUCUCAUUAUACCUGAAACUGACUAGAAAACUUGAGGAAGCUGAAAACCUUGAGACUCUGCCAAGAUUAGGUGUUAUGAUUGUUGAGUGCUGAGGAACGGAUGGUAUAAGUUGAACUAGCAGCAGAGCAGACCACCAAUGGCCCUCGUGAAGGAAGUUCCGGGAGUGUCCAAGGAAAGCUAGUGGAAUUGUAUUUGAUCAAAUACUUCGAUUAUCAACCAAUUUGUCUUUGCCUACCUUGCAAAGCAUGAGAUGCAACUCUGGCUACAAGUUAGGAGUCCAAACGAUUACACUUAUAGAUAUAUCCAAAGAAUUGCACAUAUUUUUAAAUCCAAAAAGUAUAUUGCAACUCUCUAGAGAGUUGCAUCUCCUUAAAUACCAUUGAUUCCCAUAGUAUGUAUAUGUGUACGUAUCCUUUUGCUUGUACCAUAAAAUUGACACCAAAACUUGGAUUUUGACUUAGAUUCAACGAGAUCUACUUGUAGGAUUGGGAAGAUUGAAUUAAUACGAUCACAAACAUAUAUGGGAGACUAGGUUAAUUUACACAUAUAAGAAUAUGCCUAGACUAAUAUAUAAAUAUAAAUAAAAUAUAUACAUAUACAUGCAUGCAUGCAUGUAGACAUAUAUACAUACAUACAUACAUAUAUCAUUACGGCCCAGAUCCAGCCCUCUGUUCACAUUUUAUCUUCUCCAAAAGUUAAUAAGAAUUUGAAACUAUGAUAAAAUUCAAUUUUCUUGCCUAAAAGUGCCAGCGAUGUGAAAAGCAUGAAGAGAGCAAUCCAUGUUGAAACAAAAGGAAGUAAUCUGUGAUUUUUAUGCCUCGAAAAGCCAUAUAUUAAUAUAACAUGAAUGCAGUGACAAAAAACUUCAAUAUGACAAAAUUAAGAUGGAGCAUGAUAUCCUUUUACCUUGCAAACUUGGACAACCAAAAUUAAGAUGAAGACGCUGAGACCCUGCCAAUGCACAAAAGUGUGUAUUAUAUUUUUGUUAGUUUUCACUGCUAAGAAGCAACUCAAAAAAAUAUCGAAUUAAGACUCCAACAAUUGAACUAAGAUUUAUGUGCCAAGUAAAGCAAUUAUGUACUUGAUGAGAUAAGAAACAACUCUGACAAUUACAAAAUUGUGAUGGAUAUGAUCUCACUGUACCUGAAAUUUUUACAAGCAAGCUUGAGGAGGCUGAAAGUCUUGAGACUGCCAAAGGUAUGUACUUUUCUUUUUUUCUGUUUUUCUUUUGAUUUUCUACGAGUAUGAUUGUUGAGUAUUGAGGAAUCAAUGAUGAAAGUUGAACUAAUAGGAGACCAUGACCGAUUUAAAGGGUCUUCCUCCCCAUUUCAUAUGCAAAAAGUCAAAAGAUUAAUAAUGUUGCCACAAUGUUGUCACCUUUUUAUCUCACAUCUCAAAAAGUGCUAUAGUAAUUAUCUCAAAUAAAUCAUCCAAAUAAAUUCCCAUCCAAACAAACCACAAUAUGUUGUUUUUAUGGAUUUUUUUUUUUUGCUAUUCUUUUAUGGCAUAGGAUGUGAACAAUUUUGCUACUGUUGGUAUGAAUAAUUUUUUAUAUGGACUGUUGUUUUUGCUAUACUGUUAUAACGCAGGAUUUAGAUAGUCUAAAUUAAUUAAGACAAUUAUUUCCCUUUAAUUGUAUGGGAAAAUUUGGAAAAAAGGGAAUGAGAAGUGUGAAAUUUCAUAAAUAGGUGGUAAGUUUUAGGAAAUUUAUAAAUGGGGUAAGGGCUAUUAUUCACAUAUUAUAAAAAGAGAAAUUUUUGUUGCAAGCUAAAUUACAAAUUAACCCUUAUGUGCAUAUAAGGGCACUUGUAUGUGCACAUAUAUCAUACGUGCAUAUUUGAAUGUAUAUUUACACGUAUCAAUAAACACAAUUUUAUUCAGUAAGAUCCACAUUGCUAUGAGGGUAAUUUUAGUUAUUUAACAAUAAAAUUAAUAGUUGCUUUACUUCGUAAGUAAUAACCCAUGCCCCAGUUAUAAAUUUUGUAAAAUUUACAACCUACUUAGAGAUUGUCAAUAUUCCUAUUCUUUUUUUUUAAUAUUCCCAAAUUAUUUUGACGACAUCAUAUUAUUCUGCUCGAUCAUGCCAUAUUGCCAUUUUGAUGACUUAAUGAAAGCUCCUUAAGGAAGUAGGGGACAUUUCCAGGAAAUGGUGCGGCAAAGACUUUGAUGACUAAAGGGAAGAAUUUCGGUCACACGAAAAAGGGGAGGUAAACUAUAUAUAUAGUCUAACGAAAUAUAAGAGAAACGCAUAACAAGGAAAAUGGUAAAAAAAAUUAUAAAAUCCAUCCUUUGCAUAAAUAUGGCAAAAAGAGAGUUUUAUUAAAAAUAUUAAGGUUAGUAUUGUCAUUUUAAAUAGACAAGGAACGUAGGUGUAUUUUUGAAACCUUAGAGGAGCCAAGUGAAAUUAUUAGAAACCUCAGGGGAGAUUUCUGAAAUUAUCCCUUUUAACAAGUGAUAAGGUUUUAGCUUAAUUCCAAAUGAUUUGCUUUGCACUUUUCAUCAUUGCACGGACAACUAAAAGCGACAACACUCCAUUAUUAAUAGCGGGUCACCACCGAAAGGGAAAAGACUUUGCCGUUCACGUUGACGACGACGACAUUGUCGAGAGGAAAAAUCCAUGAAGUUGAAGGGAGGCUUGAAGUGGGGACCCUUCGCCUAUCCUCGUCUGUCUUUACCCAUCUACCCCUGCUAGUGCUCCGUGGCCGUAGGGGCCACUUCUAUUUUUAUUUUUUUAUUUAACUUUAUUUAUAUAUGCAUAAUAUUGUCAUUGGGCCUUCAUGUGGUCACUGCCAAAGUCUUGGUAAUGUGAAAAGUUAAUGGAUCAAACCUUGCCUCCCAUCAAAUCGAGCGUUACUGAAAUAUGGUAAAGAGUUCUUUACCAUUUCCUUUUAAUGGUUGAGGACUGUGGUCACAAUUCACAAGAUAUAUUACCGAACUGUUAUUAUCUGAAUAACACGUCUCUACUGCGAAAGCAUAGAGUCCUUUACCGCUUGCCAAGCACUAGAUUGUGCUGCCUGCUUUGAUUUCGUAAUGUGAUUCCUAACUUCUAUAACUUCCGUCGUGUGAAAAUAUCCACAAUGAGAAUCUCAUUUUCAUGUAGCUAUUUUCUCAAGUUUCAACAGAAGUUAGUGGAACAAGAAUCAAAUAGUUCCUGAGGGUCAUGUUGUCUGAAAUUUAUACUUACCUAGCUCUGUUCAAUCAAUACCAAUCUUUGGCUUUUCUUUAAAAAAAUAAGUACAACAGCUUAAAAAAAGCAAUAUAUAAUAGAAAAUUAAAAAAUACAGCUGAAAAUUCAUAAAAAAUCUCAUUUUUUAUGCAUUUUGAUUUGUUAAGUUUUGUGUAUCUUAAGAAAACAAAAAAGAACUAAAACAUGAUAUUUAUGAAGGAAAAAUAGUAAUAUAAUAAAAAGUGAGACAGAUAGUGGUAUAGGGUUUCUCUUCCUUUGUUCUCCCUUCUUCUUUGUUCUUAUUUUUAUUUAAUAAAGUCUCUCCUAAAAUAUCCUAGUGAGAGUUUUCUUCUCUCUCAGGCGACCUUGGUGAGAUUUGAUGUUUUGUGAUUCACAGUGUAAUCUUUUAUAUUUUGUAACUCUGUUAAAUCUUAUGAUUUUUCAGAUCAAAUAUAUCAAUGACAUGUUCCAUGUAUUUUCUACUAUUAGUGCAGAUUACUUUGUCAAACAAAUCGUGUUGGAUGAUUUCCAGCUAAAUUAUUAAUAAUAUUGGCUUAUGUUUUAUCAAAAAAAUAAAUAAAUUCUAACCUCCAAUCAUAUGUAUAUGAGGCCUACACAUGAUCAGGAUCGUUAUAUUCACUGCCGAUUUAAAGAGUUACUAGUUUUUAAGCCCUGACGCGACGCGUCAGGUAGCUGAGACUCAUUAUUUUGUUAUUAUAUUUGUUUUUUUUUCUUUGUUAGAUACAGUAGUCAUGUGUGUGAGUGUGUGUUUUUUCCUAAUUGCACAAAUAAACAUGACUUUGAAAUCAGGUUAUCUUAUAUUUUUAAAAUUAGGCAAAACUAAAAGGCAUGAUUAUUUAACAUUUUUAAUAUAGCAUUACUUAGUAAGUAAUGCCUAAAAUUAGGUAGAACUAAAAGGCAUAUGGCUAUACAUGUAAUGUGUAGCCUUGCUUAUUAGUCACGUUGCUUCUCUAAGAUAAGCAAUUUGACAAUUUUCAUUUUUUUGACACUUUCUAUUUGCUAGUACUUCACAUUUAACAAUCUUUUAGAAGAAAGAAAUAAAGAAAGACAAUUAUAAAAUGGGUUUGUCAUUUUCUUUUGUUUGCUAGACUUGAAUGAACAAUCAAACAUAUUUAAAAAUAUUUUCAAAUCAAUGUAAAAUUGAAUUAAUCUUUUUUGUAUAUUCAGCGGCUUUUUUGUUUACAUUAAUAGGUCUAUAUUCGUGACACAUAAUUUUUAUUCAACUCUAUCCCACCAUGACCUCGGUUUAUAUAUACUACCAUGUCUCCUAAUCAGGGUUGCAUAUUGGAUCCUAUUCUUUUUUUUGUUGCAAUUCAGAUGAUUGUUUAAUUGAUAGAUUAAAAGUGUUCAAGAAUGGAGGGAACAAAAAUAGUUUCUUUGGACAGGACAUCAUCUAUUGAAAAUGAGUCUCGGACUCUCAAUAUUGAACAAGUUUAAGUUGCAAGGAUGAAUAUACAUAUUUUCUUUCUUUCUUCCCUUUUCUAGGCUGUCUAUCACUUUGUUUUUUUUUUUUUUUGAUUUUGAUGAUUUUGGUUUUGAUAAUUUGUAUAGGAGGCAACACUUUAUGUGGUGAGUACGAGGAGCAUGGAAGAAGCUCUUUGAAUUUUCACUAAGAUAAUGGCUUAGAUAUAUACAUAUCUAAUAAUUUCUUGAGCUUAAAAUUUUCUUUUCUACUUUCUAGGUUCUUUGGAUCUAUAACUCUUACUUAUUUGAUGAUUCUUUCUCUUACUUGGCUGAUGAUUUUUUUUUUUUUUUGGUAAUCUGUACCAUAAGCUGCAAAUUUAUAGGUUAUUUUGUGUUCUUAAAUCAUGUGCUAAAAUAGGUGAGUUUCUCUUUUUCUUUUUCUUUUUCAAUAAAAGUGGUAUUCAAAAUCAAGAAAUAGUUGGAAUCUUUAAAUGGUGAAUUCCAAAUCAACUUGUGUUUAAGGAUAGGUUAGAAUAAAAUGCUAAGAAAUAACUGGUGGAACUAUUCUACAAAUGAGGUGGCAAGGGUAGGGAUGGCAAUGGGGGCGGGUGCCCGCGGGGGAGGGUUGGGGCGGGGGGUGGGGCGGGGGCGGGGGGAAUUUUUUCCCCCUGCUUAGAAACGGGGCGGGGGGCGGGGGAGUAUACCCUCGCCCCGCCAUGUGAGAUCCCGGUUAGCCUCUGAUUUCAAUAUCAUGUGAUAUUAAGGGCAUUUUGUUCUAUUUUGUACGGAUUUAGUAGAAAACUCUAGUUUUCUUUUUAUUGUGAUAACUUGAAAAAAAAAGAGAAAGAAGAAAAAAAGAAAAAAAUUAAAUUAAAUUAAAAUUAAAAUUAUUAAAAAAUUACAUGUAUGUUAUGAAUUCUUUUAUUGCUUAGAUAUUAGAAAAUUACAUGUAACAAAGGAAUGGUUAAGAUAAAUGCAUAAUUGAAUUUCUAUAACAGAUUGAAAAUUGAAACGCCACUUGAAUUAUGUAAAAUCCUAGCUACAAAUCCACUCUUACUAACCGAGCUUUAGGUUCCAAUUUGAUGCUCAUUCACCUAGCAAAAUAUGCUAGAAAACUUGUGAGGAGCAAAGAUGAAAACCGAUUAAGAUUCAAGGACCAAACGAUGAAUACCGAAAUUGCACUACGACCCUUUACUAUAUUUAGCCAAAAAAAAAGAGAAGCCAAAAAAUCUUACUCCGAUUCUGGUCAUCUUGACCGAGAAUACCAAGGCUGGAAAGCCUUGAAUCUUCAUGAUUUUUUUGCCAGCCAAAGCAUGACAAAGCAGGUAGGAACACUUGUCAAUUUUCCAAGCCAUUGAGUUGGCAAAACUCCAAUCCUUGUCCUGCUAGCUUAGGCUGCUAUAAAUACCAGACAUCCAGGCUUAGUAAAUACUUUGGUAAUCUUCUUAUCUUCACCGAAUCUAGCAAGAAACUAUCAGCUCAUUUACUACAAAAAUUGCACACAAAGCUAGCCAAAACCAAUUCUGUUGAGAGCCGAUUAAGCUGGAUUUUUGCUGCACAUCUGGUGGAAUUUUCUUGCACUUUACUGCCCUUUUAUUAAAAGGUACCAUGAGCUAUACACCUAUUUCAUUUAUAAUUCAUUUACGCAUCUUAUAUAUCUAGAAAAUCAAGUAUCCCUGCUGAAAAACAAAAAAAGAAAUCCUAUUAUAAACAUGCAUAUGAGCAGUUCGUGAUUUUCCAGCUUUGUAGUUCAAUUUCUAUGCCAAUUUUAUGAUGAUUCUUGCCUAAAUUUUGGCUAUAUAUGUUUGCUAUGCAUGCUGGAUACUAGGUGUACUUGUUUGAUUGAUAAGCUCUUGAGCAACCAAGACUAAUUUGGGAAUCAAAAAAAAAAAAUGGAACCAUAUGCCACAAACAGUUUCUUCGGAUGAAACAGUGGCCUGAAAUCAGUUUUGGUAAAGCAACUAUAUCUUGGGCUAAAAAACUCGGAUUGGGAUGCCAUUUGUAGCGUUAGAAACUAGCUUCACAGAACUAUCUCUGGUAUAAAAAUCAGUUCCAAAUUCAUUCCCUAUAAAUACCAGUAAAUCGGCAAAGUUUGCUGUUUUUUUUUCGGAACCUGUUUUGCUGGACCAUUUGAGCAGCCUGUUUGCAACGAAUUUUGACCCAACUCUGAUCAGAAUUUGAACCUGAGCCCUUCAGAGAAAUUGUAGCUUCUUAAGUGCUUGUUGUGCCUACAAAAUUUCAGGUCAAACGGAGGUGUGUAGGCUGAGUUAUAGCCGAAACCCUCACUUAGCUUACAAAUUCAGGUUUGACCACGUUUUGUAGAUUAGCUUCUGACCAUGCUCAGUUCGCAUGGAUAAUGAUGAAACUGGGUGGUGGUGUCUUCAUAAGAACUGUAGAGCUCUGUUUCAGAUUCAAAACGGUAUAAAGUGAAUCCAAAUCUGAGCUUCGUAGCUCCAGUUAAAGCCAAAAUAAGAUCGUGUGUCAGAACUGCCUGGAACAUUGGGCAGUUCUGACAGGUACUUUGACACCCACUUUUCGUUUGGUUCUGAGUUGAUCCAAGUCUUGGCCAAAACAUAAAAGUUUUAGCCUUAUGUCUUAGCUUUCCAAUGACUUUGGAAUUUCUUGAAUUGGGUCUGUGAGUUGUAAGUGAUGAUUCUUCCACUAGACCCUGUCUGUCAUCUAAACGUGCGAACUCCUGGCACGUUGUUUCAUACUUAUGACCUGAUUCCGUUCAGAACUGGAUUGAAGUGUCUUCAUGAAAGUUAUAGAUUUUCUCCUUAGCUUCGCGACGGUAUCUCAUACGCCUCGAUCCGACAAUCGUAACCUACAUUGUGUUCAAAACAGUUCUUGACGCCAAAACGGACAAGUUUCCGUUUCUGUUUCCAUUUCCGUUUCCGUUUUCCAUUUCCGCGCGCGUAUGAGUCGCCUUUGCUGUUUUCCUUAUUCGUAUGCAUUUGGAUACCUGUUUGAGCAAUGUUAUGACUCAACCUUCUGUCACAGACGGUAACGAAAUGCUCGGAGACGGUGGGACCCACUGACGGUUGAGUUUGACCAAGUGCCGUUUUUGUCAACCUUUGUAUUCUAUGUAAGUAACUGGGACGUUUAUGUGUUAAAUGUCACCAAUGUGAACUGUGUGUGAUAUAAGGGUGCUUAGGCGAGCGUGUACUUUAUCUCACUCGACCUAAACCCUAAUUUGUAUUGCAAUAGAUAUGAAUUAUGGUAUAUGAACUGUGUUGGGACUGAAUCCCUGAAGCAUGUGGCUUGGGAUGACCUUUUGUGUGUGUGUGAUGUGGAACUAUGAGUGGGCCCGAUCUAAAGGCUAGACGGACUAUUCGAGCCAGUUAGGGCUUGGUCGAAGUUAGUCCAAACUAUCCUUAAGAUCACCAAUUUUGUGAAUGCAAUUCGAAUACGAUUCGAAGCUCGAGCCAUUUGUGUGUGUAUGGAUACUGGCCAGAGUGGGCGUAAGGUGGUCGGAGGAAGAAAGCGGAGUUCUACGGACCAUUCCUUGUGGUCGACGGAGGGUCGACAGGUGAUCACGCAUGGCGAAUGACUUGGCUUUGGAGCCAAUCCGUAUCCUUGAAUUGUUUUGUUACUUUUGCUUUGAUUUUGAUGUAAUUGUGGCAUGAAUAUCUGACUUGAUGCAAAAUUUACCGUUUUGCCCCUGCUUGCUUACUAAGCUUUAAGCUUACCCGUUUUUCUUUGUUAUUUCCUUAACAGGGGUCGUACGCGGGGAUCACACUUCACGAGAGUUAUAACCCUAGAAUUUACGUUUGAAAUUAUACUAGUUGGACUUUCUAGGAUGUUUUUCUCACAGUUAGAGUUAGGACUCUGUGUAAGAUCCACUUUGUGGUUUUAGUCUUCGCUUUUGUGUGAUGUAGUGGACUGGAAUAUCCCUUUUGAAGAUGUACAUAUUGUAAAUGGUACUUUUGGAGAUGUAUAAAUGUGAAUAGUAUCUUUUGGUAUUAUGAUUCUUUUAUUGGACAAAUUUAUGUUAGAGUAAAUGUUCAGUUGUCCAAUAGUAAUGUUAUCUCUGAAAUUAAUGUGAGUGAGUGAGUCCUGGCGCGAGCUAGGCAGGCGGUCCGCCAAACCCUUUGGUACGCCUCUGGGUGCGGUGGGAUCGUUACACGCCACCUGCCAAAAAAUAUAUAUAUAAUUAUAUAUAAUAUGUAAGUUAAUUAGUUAUAAACUUAUGAUAAUAAUAUUAUUAGUUAGAUGUAUUAUAUAAUGUAUAUUAGUUUAUGUAAUAUAAUUGAUAUUAUCAAUUAUAUGAAUAAUUAUACAUGUCUACUAAUAGAAUUUAUUAAUUAGUUAUACUAAAUUUACUAAUACAUUUAUACUAAAUUUCUAAUUACACUUAAUAGAAUAACAUUUUUUUCUCAAAAAAAAGCACAAACACAAUAAUGAAUUAGUGAUUGUAUUUGUACUAAAAGUGAAAACUUGACUAUUUUAGUUAUAUUUAUUUCAUCAUAUUGGAUUGUAUUCAAAUAACUUCUGUUUGAUUGUUUUUAUGAAUUUCAAUUGUAAAAUUACAAUGAAUAAUAAUUUGUUGAUGUGUUGAUAUUUUAGUACUUAAUUAUUUAUUAAAAUUUAAAUAUAAUAAAAUUUUAUUAACCUCGCGGAUGCCCCCGCGGGGGAAGCGGGGCAGGGCGGGGGAUGGGGCGGGGGUGGGGGGAAUUAAUAGGCAACGGGACGGGGGGCGGGGGAGGGGUCCCCCGCCCCGUUGCCAUCCCUAGGCAAGGGUUGGUGGGCUGAAGCCUAGAGGAAGGAGGGAUGGUGGCUAGGAGAAGAGAGAGAUUAAUCUUGAUUCCUGAUCUUUGCCACAAGGCGUAAGCAAGUGCAGGGGAGAAUUUGGUCCGUUAACUGGAAGAGCAGGAGAGAGAGUGGUAAUUAGAAGAGAGUAAGGAUUGAAAUUGAGAGCAAGGAAGAGAGAGAGAAGGAAAAGCAAAGAACGUCCACCGAUUCAAUGAGGUUGUUUGCACCCACGUUUCCCCAAGCCGCUCAAAAAUCAUGCAACCGACAAACACCGCCAGAGUUCAUGAAAAUUGCGGAGUAACCAGGCCAUUUGCCCAAACGGACAGAAGUGAAAAUUACGGAGUAACAUUUUUUUUAUAUGAUGUAUAUGUAAUAAAAAUAUGAUUGAGAAAUAUAUUUUGUAUAAUAAUAUUUUUAAAAAAUAAUACUAUCCAAAUCCAAACACGGUCCACGUGUGCUUAUGAGUUAUGAUGUAUGUAAAAAAAAGAAAAGAAAGUUUAAAAAAGCGUAAAUGGAUGGUUGGAUGCUUCGAGGGAGGAGAUAUAAGUGAAAAAUCUUGAAUUUGAAACCAUACUGAUAGGGUGUUAAUUGUUGGUUAUUUUAUUGUUAAUUUUCCCCUUUAUCCUUGCCAAAUAUUGUUUUAAUUAUUAAUAUUUACUUAUAUUUGGUAUUGGACUCAAUUUCAGGAAGUGAAACAGAAAACUACAAAAAUGAGGGACUUUUUGGAGAUAAUUGGGAUUUCAAACAACCGGGCCCACAUGGUGCUACAAAGAGAUUGCAUUUCCUUUGCUGAUUAGGAGAUUGGAGUUCUACGGGCAAUAGGAAACUAAAAGCAAGGAAUUCGGUAGAGCCCCACUUUUGGUUUGAUUCUCAAUUCCAGCGGGGACCACAGGGAUAAGAAGCUUUAGUCAUUGUUGGCUUUAAAAAGGAGACAAACGUGCAGAGAACUCUUAUCGAUCAAUAGUUUUAGUUUAGGCUUUUAGCAUAGUUUUAGUUUUCUUUUCUUAGCUCUUUCGCAUGGUUGUUCUCCAUUAAUGGAGGACUAACCUCUUAAUUCUAGUCAAGGGGACAACUGAAGACUUGAUUCAACAAUUACUGUGAGAUCGAAAUUAUUUUAAUCGCUUCCUCAUUUAUUGGUAUUUAUGUGUUUCCUGUUUUUAAUUAUUAUAGUCCUUAUGUAUGAUUGAUUAGUGCGCAAUAAUUAAUUAUUCAUAUAGGCUAAUUUGCUAAAUAGAGGUAAUUGAAUCCGUAAUUGUUCGUUAUCUCUAUCUUAGUAGCAACUGGCGUAAUUGGGUUUAUGUCAGGGGAGCAUACGAUCUAGCUUAAACAAACCCUCGUAGCGUGUUUGUUAGUUAGGAUUGGGUCUUUCUAAUUAUUAAUGCAAUCUAGAAAUUAAAUCCUACGGUCGUACCUAGGGUUGUUUUUGGGUUAGAGAAAUAGUUAACGGUCGUACCUUAACUAUCGAGAAAUUAAGGAAAGGUUGGUUGUUUAUCGCGUGCAUGGCGACUAUAACUGGUCUAUUAAUAAAUGUGGAAUUAUCUGUGAGUCGAUGAUCAGUGCAUGAAUCAUUUCUGAAGUGUACCCUUGGCUAGAGUUUUCUCUUAAUUAUUUCUCUUAAUCAAUUAUUUCCUGCAGUUAAUUUAUUUAGUUAGUAUUUAAUCCAAAACCCCCCAUACUUUGGACUCUAGAAGAAACGAAUUAUCCCCAGUCCCUGUGGAUUCGACCCUACUAACCGCUAUAUACAAAAUCUGUAUUUUUCUCGAUUAGAUAUUUAUUAUUGUACAGGUUCGGCACCUGUCAAUUUUUGGCGCCGUUGCCGGGGACUGGUGCCAGAUUAAUUUGUUUCUUUUUGAGUUCAUCUUGUUUUUAUUUUUUUUAUUUAUUUUUCUCUUAUUUUUUUUUCUAUAUAGUUUAUGGCUUCUAACACUCCGUAUUUUGGUGAUGUACUAGAUUUUGUUUCCGGGGAAGGCGAUGAGACUAGCUUUUUUGCUAAGUUUGCAUAUUCAGAGGCAGUAAACUCUAUUAGAGAAAGAAUGGCUGCUGCAACCUGUAAAAUUUGUUAUGCCAGGGAUCAUUCAACCAGUAUGUGCCCCGAAUAUCAAGAUAAUCUGAGUGUCUCAUUCAAUAAUUAUGGAGAUUUUUCACCCUGGUCUCAAACGUGGUAUGACUCUUAUUCAAACGGGUAUGAUCAAGGAUGGUGGGAUAAUUCCAAUUAUAAUUGUACAACAGGACCAAUGAAUUUUCAGCAGUAUGAGUCUCAAGAAUCAUCAUCUAUGUCAGGUAUGUCUCUUGAAGAAAUAGUUGAAUCAAUAGCUACUAAUACAUACCAAUUUCAACAGGAGACACAAAUGAGAGAUGGAAUGAUGAGGGAGGCAAUGAGUAAUCUGGCAGAUCAAAUUGAAGAAUUGUCCUCGAAAAUCAUUGUUGAUCUGGAAGAGAAUGAGAGUGAAAUUUGCCUGACUAGUGAUGAGGAGCUGCAAGAUUUUCAAGAAGAGAGAUGUACAGAUGCAGUUGAAAAAGAAGCCGAAAAGGAAGAAAUGGAACCCCAACUGCAACCCAUUCAAGUGAAAGAAUCCAGUGAAGAAUCAUCAAAUGUGGUGACACCACCUCCAUUCCCUAACCCGCAUUUUCUUAACUCUUACUCCAUGAUUUCUGUUAAUGAGAUUGAUUUUGUUAUACCGGAAGUUUUUGAGUCUCAUUGCAGAAAUGAGUUAAGAGUAGCUAUGGUCAAAUAUCUUGAACCAUUGAAUGCUCUUGAUGGAGGAGUGGAUGAGGAAUGGAGAUCACUGCUUGAGUAUUUGACGCCAUUUACUAGUUUACAGAAGAUCGUAGCUCGUGUGUUGAAAGAUUACUCUAUUUACGAGGGCUAUCAGGACUAUAUAGAGGAUGAAACACUGAAACGAGCCUCAAGAUUUUAUCCUCCCUGAACAAACAUGACAAUGUCUAGCCAAAGACAUUAAAGAAAGGCGCUACUUGGGAGGCAACCCAAGACUAUUUAUUUUAGUUUUCAUACAUUUUGGAAAUUUGAGUUAAGUGUUAGUGUCAAUUAAUAGUUUGAUGUUUGGUGACAGGAUCUGCGGACUCUAUAGCAGUUAAGUGUGCCCCACGCCAGGUGGUCACUCCUGAGGGAAAGAAAUUUUCGUUCAGGAUCUGCGGACUCUAUAGCAGUUAAGCGUGCCCGCGCCAGGUGGUCACGCCUGAGGGAAAGAAAUUCUCGUUCAGGAUCUGCGGACUCUAUAGCAGUUGGGCGUGCCCACGCCUAAGACAGGAGUUCCUCGUUUCUCGUGAAAAAAAAAAGCAGAAAAAAUUUUCAAAGGGCACGAAGCCCUACUCUUUUCUUCUUCUUCUUUCUUUUCUUUUUCUUUCUUCUUUCUUCUUCUUUUUUUUUUCUUUUUCUCCUCCUUCUUCUUGUGUUUUCCUCGGCCGCCGUCCGCACGUCCGCCGCCAUUGACGCCCUCCAGCAGCUCCAUCGCCGCCCCUCCUCAGCCGCGCCUCUCCCCAUUUCGAUCUCUCUCUCCUCGCUGCCGUCCACCACCGAACGUCGCAGGUGUGCUCAGCUACACGCGGCCCUUGCUCCUCGCCGUAGCUGCUGUCCGCCGUGCCUCCAAGCCACCAUCGCCACCAGCCCUUCAGCCCUCCACUUGAGCACGCCACCAGCUCCUCGCAGCUUCUACCUCCACCACGGGCAGCUUCACUUCGCGGCCAGGAGCUGCCACGAGCCCGACAGAGCGCCGCCCAUCUCCCCCUUCGCUGACCAGUCCGCCGCCGCCUCUCCCUCACCAGCGGUCAACCUCGCACUUCACCAGGCGCUCCAGCUUCGCCCACAACCAGACCAGCUCGCGCGCCUCCACCACCAGCUCACGCCGCUGCCAGAUCUCCUCUCUCCACCACCACACGCGAGCUCUUCCUGCUUCACUCCUGAACAGUCACGCGACUGCAGCUAGCGCGCCACCCCCCACCAGCUCGCGCCACUCUACCCCAACCUCUUCACUGUUGCUGCUCCGCCACUCGAGCCAUUCCCACCUGUCCAAAUUGACAGGUGGAGGUAUUGUAAUUUCCUCUUCGAUUAGUGUUUUUCUGGUUCAUCAAUUCCUAAGAUUUUGCACAUUUUUUUUUUCGUGGGUUUUGUGGUGGCUGAAGCCAAUAAGUAAUUUGGGUAUUUUCUGGGUUUCAUUGUAAGGGUGCAAUUACGUCUAAUUGCUACCAUAUGUGGGGAUAUUUUCUGAUUUUUGUUAAAUUGUUGGUCGCCUGACCUUCCCUGUGUGUAUACCAGUGGUACUGGUUGGAGUUUUUUGUUUACAUUCAUUGAUUUUAUGUGGUCGCCUGUCUGAUUGCGAGCUAAUAACCUUGUACUUCUAUUGUUGUUCGCAUUUUGACCUGUGGUUGCUGAAAUUGCCAAUUUCUGGGGUCAUUUGCUAUUUUUCAUAGGUUGGAUUUCUUGUUGGAUAUAAGAGAGUGAUAUUUUGGGCAUUUUCUGGGGUUCACUUUGGGCUGAAUUGAGUUUAAUUGCUGCCAUAGUUGGGAUAUUUUCUGCGUUUUAGUGAAUUGUUGGCCGUUUGAUUACUUUUUGCCUGUGACUCACCAGUGGUACUGGUUGAGGCCUUUUGCCUAUCGGUAUUGCUGCUAUUUGAAGAUACUUGCUUAUUUUAAAGUUUAAGCUCUUGUGGUUGAGUUGCUGCCGUUGAAUUUAAUUCUUUCCUGUCUGUGCACCAGUGGUACUGGUUGUAGUGUUGCUUUCCAUUUCUUAAUCCUCUGUGCCGGACUACCUAUUUGAUUCUUGAGUUUUGGUGUCUGAACUGUUUCUAGACUUCUAACCAGUGGUCAAUUGCUAAUUUUAGCAGGUUGAAGUGGGUAAUUGACUGUCCAAUUGGAGACAGUUGUUCCGAUAUUGGGUCCGAUUGUGUCUAAUUGCUGAAAAUUGUUGAUUUACUAGGACACUAGCACAGUUCCUAGUUUGUUCGAGUUGCUGUUCUGUUGCAUUAUUGGGAGUUGUGCUCUAGUAUUGUGGCUACUUUCCUGCAUUUAUUUGUUGAAUUGGGAUAUGCAUGUGCCGUUUGCAUUUCCUUGUUGAAGUUGGUUGCUUCUAAUUCACUUGUUUGGACCACUUUGUUGCGAUUUUGGGGUCCAUUGAUUCUGCAUUUGACUAGUUUGGGACCACAGGUGCUUAUUGAUUGCCAGUGCUAUAAGUGUUGGGGUAUUUGUAUGUCCUCUGGGUGAUUGAAUUGUGCACUUUGCUCAUUGGGUUGGCUUUAAAAUUGUUAUUGCUUUGAAUUUCUGGCAUCCAUUAUUUGUUGGCAAUUGUAGUCUCUUAUUGCUUAGAGUGAUAUCGAGAGUCCAUGGUGAAGCCACGAAUGGCACCAGCUCCAGUUGUGAGUUGAUCCACAAUUUUCACCUGAACCGCCCCUAUUUUGAUGACUUCAGGGAAGUACCGUUGCCCCUCUCCUUCCUUCUGCUCUUACAUUAUCACAUUGAGGGUAAUGUGUGAAUUAGGUGUGGGGGGAUCGUUGUGGGGGGGAUCGUUGAACACCAAAUUUAAUGUUGGAUUGUUGUCUCUAAUUCUGAUAUUGCCAAGUUUUAGUAAUGAAAAGGUAUUAAGUUAAUGUGGUUGAGUUCAGGGGUAUCUCUUUGGUGAAUAUCGGUAAUUGUUUAACUUUUCCAAUUUUUGGUUAACUUUUCUAGGCAUAGGGAAUGAUUGUUAGCAUUUUUCAUGUGAAUUGGUCCAAUUAUUAAUUUUAGUUCUCCAUAUUUGGAAAUUUGAGACUGGCUGCUGUUAUUUCUGUUAUUGUGCUAUAUGGUUGUAAAUAAGAGUUGAUUGUACUCCGCUAGUGGUUACUACUGAGUAACCGGGGAUCUUCACCUAAAGUGUCGAUUCUCGCGUCAAAAGGUAGUUGUUACUAUGAGUGCGUGGUCCCGUAGCAAUUGGAGCUGAGUAACCGGGCUCCUCCAUCUGGCAAAUGUUGGAGUUCGCGUCAAAAGGCUCUAAGGGCUAUAGACUAAGUCUUUUGUUACUCAAAAAAAAAAAACAAGAAACAAAAAAAGAAAAGAAAAAAAAACAAAAUAAAGAAAAAAUAAAAUAAAGAUUGUGUUAGUAUGUGAAUAAGUCAGCUUGCCGGUUUGUGAUCUUAAUGUCGAGAUUUUGGUUAAUAGUUGGACCAUUUGCUGAUAAAUGUGAGCAACCAUUCCUUUUUCUUAGAUUAGUUUGUUUUAAAUUGGAGGAGUUGGUGGUUGAGAAGCUAACCGGAGUAGUUUUUCUUGGAUCUUAACUGUGAUGCUUGAUAUAUAUUUUUCUGGAUAUCUUGGCAAUAUGAUAGUUAGAGCAAUAGCCAUUGUCAAAUUUUGGUGUUCAAUUGCUAUUCUUAUACUUGAGGGCAAGCAUGAUUUAGGUGUGGGGGGAAUUGAUAGGGUGUUAAUUGUUGGUUAUUUUAUUGUUAAUUUUCCCCUUUAUCCUUGCCAAAUAUUGUUUUAAUUAUUAAUAUUUACUUAUAUUUGGUAUUGGACUCAAUUUCAGGAAGUGAAACAGAAAACUACAAAAAUGAGGAACUUUUUGGAGAUAAUUGGGAUUUCAAACAACCGGGCCCACAUGGUGCUACAAAGAGAUUGUAUUUUCUUUGCUGAUUAGGAGAUUGGAGUUCUACGGGCAAUAGGAAACUAAAAGCAAGGAAUUCGGUAGAGCCCCACUUUUGGUUUGAUUCUCAAUUCCAGCGGGGACCACAGGGAUAAGAAGCUUUAGUCAUUGUUGGCUUUAAAAAGGAGACAAACGUGCAGAGAACUCUUAUCGAUCAAUAGUUUUAGUUUAGGCUUUUAGCAUAGUUUUAGUUUUCUUUUCUUAGCUCUUUCGCAUGGUUGUUCUCCAUUAAUGGAGGACUAACCUCUUAAUUCUAGUCAAGGGGACAACUGAAGACUUGGUUCAACAAUUACUGUGAGAUCGAAAUUAUUUUAAUCGCUUCCUCAUUUAUUGGUAUUUAUAUGUUUCCUGUUUUUAAUUAUUAUAGUCCUUAUGUAUGAUUGAUUAGUGCGCAAUAAUUAAUUAUUCAUAUAGGCUAAUUUGCUAAAUAGGGUUCAGAUAUCUAUUGGGUUAUUGGAUGGAUAAAACCGUGAGCCUUGAUUGAGUGUGCAUGUUUGCCGGGAGUUUCUCUUUUUGUGCCUCUGCUGCAUUUUUCCAUUCAAUUGCAUCAUGGAGCUGUUGGUGGUUGUAAUGUUUUCCUGAUGCAUAUAAAGGCUUGCGUCCCUUGCUGCACUUUUCUUUCAUUUCUUUUGUUGUGGAGCAACUCAGAUUUCCAGCUUUGAUCUCGCGACAAAAAAAAUGUAAUGCUCAGUUGAGUGAAUGAUUAAGACUUGUUGUGUUUGCUUAUUUUGUUUAAAAAUCUGGAUGUUCAUUGGAUCUGUCUGCAUGAUAAAUUGGAGGAAAGCCACGGUUGGGGAAUAGAAAAGUUGCAGACGCAUGUUUUCGGUUACAGAAACUUUCAUUAUGACCUUUGCAUGAGAGAUUGCUGGAAUUUACAUUACCUCACUUUAAGUUGGUGACUUGUUGAUUUCUGUGGUAGUCGUUAGUUCCAUGUCGGUGAGUUUUGAUUGAUUAGAUGAGGUGUUAACUGUUUUAGGACUGCAUUCAAGAAACCCAUUGUAUUGCAGCAGAAAAAUUGUAGAAGCUGGUUUCGCUGUCGUUGCUUGCAUGAAAUGUAUCUGUGAGCUGCAUUUGCACUGAAACGUUAGCCAUGUUUGGUUGGGAUUAGUCCAAAAGGUGCUGUGCGAAACUGCCUGCCGAAAAUUUGUUUGAUUGCAGAAAGCUUUCAUUAGUAAUGCUUGUUGCAGAGAGUGUCUUCGGUGGCUGCAUGAAACUUGCAUGAAAAAAUUCUCAAAAUUGCACUUUGACCCCUUGGCUUCUAACUCAUGCUACUAGGACCCAAUCAAUUGAAUAAUUUCCUCAAUUUGGGCCUUGGUAGUUUUAAUUUUGCAACUUCGUUGUUUGUUUGUUUCAAUUAAUUACUAUGCUUUGCUUCAUUUGCACUUAAGUCAUGACUUUAGGGGCUUUACGAUCAAGUGAGCUUUGUUUUUGCGCAUUUCUUUUAAUUUUUCUCAAUUAAAGUGGUACCUUAACCUUUUUAUUGUUUUGAAGCCAUUUUUCUUUCAUUUGGGCAUCAACUCAAGGGAGGUAUAACUUCUUUUAUCUUUUUGUCUCUCCCCUAUGUGAUCCAACGUGCUAAGUGAGAAUUGCAUGUCUACUUUGCUUUCCUUGCUUUUUCUUAAUUCAUUUCAUUUAUUUCAUUUACUUUUGCUUUUAUCAAGUCAUUCUUUUAUUUAUUUAUGGGGUAUGUGUACACCUCUUGGCUUGUAAUAGAUAGGGCUUGGAGAGCAUUUUUGUCCAUUUUUCCCAUUCCCCUUUUGUUUUAGUUAGCGAAUGUAAUAGGUUCAUUAGCUUGAUUGCUUGCCUUUGUUGCUACGUGUUAAUUUGCUUUAUUAGGCUCUUGCAUCUAGUCGAGCAUGCUAAGUGUUAUGUGCUAUGUGUUUAUAUGUGAUUGGCAUGUCUACUUGCUUUUUAUAGUCAUAGAUGAAUGUAAUGGAUGAAUGCACGUCACCACACUAGUCCAACGCUAGUUGUGGCUUAUUGUCCCAUUUUUCACUAGUCCAACGCUAGUAGGAAUGCAUAGAUAUGGGCUAGUCCAACGCUAGACCCUUAGGGAUUUCCCUCGCUAGUUCAUACUUGCAUGUUUCACUACAUUUCAUACAUUUUUCUUAGUUUGUUCUAGCAUUUGGCAUGAUCCUCUAAUCCUUUCCCCUUCAUUUCAGGCUUUUGCAUCUUCAUGCUAGUUAUAGGGUACAUUUGCUUGAGGGUCCCCUUUCGGUAAGGGAAACGAGCGAGUGUGGCUACAAAAUAGCCUUAGCACGCUAGUUCUUUCUUCUAAUCAAAGGGAAAAUUAAAGUCAUGAGAUUAGGAGUCAUUCCCGUACCCGACUUGAUGCAUUCCUCUAGGUUCAUGCACCCUCAUUCUUAUCAUAUCACUUCCUCACUCUUUCAUCCACAUUUUCUCACUACUUAUAUCUUUCUCAAGGUUGUUUAUCGCGUGCAUGACGACUAUAACUGGUCUAUUAAUAAAUGUGGAAUUAUCUGUGAGUCGAUGAUCAGUGCAUGAACCAUUUAUGAAGUGUACCCUUGGCUAGAGUUUUCUCUUAAUUAUUUCUCUUAAUCAAUUAUUUCCUGCAGUUAAUUUAUUUAGCUAGUAUUUAAUCCAAAACCCCCCAUACUUUGGACUCUAGAAGAAAAGAAUUAUCCCCAGUCCCUGUGGAUUCGACCUUACUAACCGCUAUAUACAAAAUCUGUAUUUUUCUCGAGUAGGUAUUUAUUAUUGUACAGAUUCGACACCUGUCACAUACUUACACUAAAAAAAAAAUAUUUAAAAAAAACUGAAUUUCCAAAUGUUAUUCCACAUGACAAACUAUAAGACAUCAUCCUUGAGAUGUAAAAACCAAAAGAAUGAAUUUGGAUAGGGUAUUAUUUAAAAUAAUUUUUGGAGCACUUUUUGUGAUAUAAAUGUAUGUAUAAUAAAAAGAUAAUUCAAAAUAGAAAAAGAGAGAUUGAAAAAUAUAUUUAUGAUAUAAACAAAAUAGUAUUUGAAAUUUAUCCCAACACGUUUGUAAAAAUUAAAAUACUUUUUCUUCAUAAAGAAAAACAUGCAUAAAUAAAUAUAUAUAUAUAAUAAUUCUAAUUCCCAUUAGUUCAAUCUAGAAAAUCCAAGACCAAGACAGGAAUUUCAUCGACCCAUAUUGCCUCUCUCACUGCAAACUGCCGUAAGCAUCCCUUGUGGAGGUUGAUAUUCCACAUCGGGGUUUAGGGGGUUUGGGGUAGUUUAGAUAAGUUCCCUGUGCGCCCUCAAGAGUUACCGGCUUUUGAGGUUCUCACGGGAUUAGGGUUUGUCAAAGCUAUCAAAAGUCCUUUGGGUUUAGAAAAAAGACAUCAGCCUCAUUCACCGGGGGGGUAACGGGCCUCUUUAGGUUUAGCCCACUGUCGGGCAGGCUCCCUUGUGGAGGUUGAUAUCCCACAUCGGGGUUUAGGAGGUUUGGGAUAGUGUAGAUAAGUUUCCUGUGCGUCCUCAAGAGUUGCCGGCUUUUGGAAUUCUCACGGAAUUAGGGUUUGUCAAAGCUAUCAAAAGUCCUUUGGGCUUAGAAAAAAGCAACGAGCAACUUGAUGUGCAUUGGUCCCAACGGAUUGGAGAAUUUAGAAAAAUGCAACUUUAAAUAUGCUACUACUGGAUUUGAUUGUGAUCGGAUCUCAACCGGCGGAGCAAAUAGGUCUGGUACCAAUUGCCAAUUGGAACUAACAAGAAGGUUGUUGAGAAUUGCGACAGGGGUCCCACACAGCAACAGCAAAUUGAAGUACUGACUUAAAAUGGCCCGCUUGGGCAAAUGGCCCAAGUUACAAUGCAAGAGAGCCACGCGGACAAAAGCAAAAUACCAGCAGAGCCGCUGCCACCCAUCAGCAAAAGACCAAAACGCCCCUCAAGGUCACACAAAUCACGGCAUAACCGGUCCACCAGGCACUGUUCACAAGCUAUUCGUGCUUCAUAUAUGUAAGAUUUGGGGCAAACUCCUUAUAAAUUUUAGUAGUGGGAGCCUUUUCGUAUUGUUCUAAAAUUCCUAUUAAUUUUGUACAUUUGUGAUCAAUUUAAUAUCAGAUUUUAUAGCAUAUUGGCUGUUGCUCCAAAUAUAUAGGAGAAGGAUUAGCAGAGCACUUAUAUUUUUCAUAAGAAGUAACAAUCAAAAUUUCCUUUAAAGAAAAAAAAAAAAAAAGCGAAGAGGACUUCCUUUCUCCAUAUAAAAAUACUUUUUUUUUAAUUUGUUGUAAUCAAGUUGCUAACUAACUUGCUAUUAAUAUCCAAUAUAUUACAAAAUAAACAAGAAAUUAUACACAACAAUCAUUGUGCACAAUGGAUCGAUUAUAGCGUAAUUCCCAGCAACUUGGGGGGUCUUUUGUUUUGUUAGGGGUAGUCCGCUGGGUGCACGCGAACUUCGUGGGAAAGUCGUUGCCAAGCUGUCCGGUUUACAUAAAGGUUGGGAUUUUAGUAUUUUACCAUGGAAUAUGUUGUCUACUUUUACUUUCGACCGUACUCAAAUAGGAUAGCUGUCAACUGAAUAAUACCGUUUUGACAAUAAAAAAAAAAAAAGACAAAUUAAUAGAGGGGUCCUUUUCUAUGUGUACUAGGGGUUUUUUUAGGGAUAAUUUCAGAAACCUCCACUGAGGUUUCUAACAGUUUCAUUUGUCACUUUCAAACUUUAAAAAAUUUCACUUAUCUCUUUUACUUUAAAUUUUUUAUAUCAUUUACAAUUGUUUUUAAAAUGUAAUAUUAAAAAAGACAUUUUGGGAGAGUAAAUAUACUCUCAUUCCAAAUUUGCUUUUUUGCUGUCUUUCUUUUUAUUACCAAAACAGUAAGCAUAUUAUUAACAAAUAAAAACAAAAAAAAUGAAUGAAUGUUUAUUUUGAUUGGAUAAAAUAUAUUGUAUUUUUUGAAUACCAAAAGUUAAUAUUUUAAAGUUUAUUUGAAUUUUUUUGCAAGUUAUAAUGAUAAUAUUUUUUUAAUGUGAAGUGUUUUAAGUUAAUUUAAGAAGUUUUGUAAAUCUUUUACAUAUUUUUUAUUUUUCUAAUAUUUUUCCAAGUCAAUGGUUUGAAAAGUAAAAGGAUACAGCAUCAUAAAUUUAUAUAUAAACUUGUUUGUGUUUUUUUUUAAGCUGGCAUAAAGGUAUUCUCGUAGUUGUAAAUUAUUACUAGUUAUUUUUAAGAAUAUUGUAAAUCAUUUAUAAAUUUAAGUAACUAGCAUUUCUUGUUCGAAUCAAUGACACAAAAACAUUAAAGAGUUUUUCAAUCUCACAGUCAACUUUUGUUAAAGAACUACAUCGAUCAAUUUACAAAAAUUAAGAGAUAAAUUUGAUGUGUUAUGAUAAUUAAGAAAUCACAUGAAAAGGAUAAAGUUGGAAUGAAAUUGGAUUCUCUUUUCCAAAAUGAGUUUUUUAAUAUUAUAUUCUGAAAUGAGUAUCAAAUGUUACAAAAAGUUUAAAGCAAGGAAAUUAAGCGAGAUUCCAACUAGUAUACUAAGGAAGACAAAAAAUCGGCAAAAAAAAAAAAAAAAAAAACUUACCUUUGAAGAAGUUGCCUGCCUAACCUAACACACGGGUCCAACCAGUACACUGGGGAAGGACAAGAAAUCAAUAAUAAAAAGCUGCUGUUCAUGUGAUUUUGUCGCGAAACUCGUUACCAAGAACGUACGUGCUACUGCAUUCAUUAACCCAGUCUGAAGGAAUGCAUGCAUGCAUCAAAAUCAGUCGGCAACAGGGCCGCUCCACUAACUGCUUCGGACGGCCACCACCUACCGUUUCAACUCUAGCACCUAACGUUCCUAAAUGAUGAUCAAAAGACCCCCAAGUUGCUGGAAAUUAUGCUAUAAUCGGUCCACAUUCACUGUUCACAAGGCAACUCACUCUUUCAGCGUAAUGAUAAAUUAGACUCGUUUUUCAGCCUUUUGCUACCGUGUCUUUGUGUUUUUCUUCUUCGUUCGAUACGGCAGUCAUGUGUGUGCUUGUGUGUUUUUUCCCCGCUACACAGGCAAACAAGACCUUUGAAAUUAGGUUAUUUAACAUUUUUAAUGUAGCAUUAAUAAGUAAGUAAUGCCUAAAAUUAGGCAGAACUAAUUGCAUAUGGCUAUACAUGUGAAUGUGUAGCCUUGCUCAUUAGUCACAUUACUCCUCUAAGAUUAAGCGAUUUGACAAUUUCUUUUUCUUUUUUUUUUUUGACAAUUUCAGUUCGCUAGCAUGUACUUCACAUUUAAUACUCUAACGGAAGGAAGAAAGAAAGAAAGACAACCAUAAAAUGGGUUUAUCAUUUUGUUCUGUUUGCUUGUCUUGAAUAAGCAUUCAAGCAUAUUUAAAAAGCCUUUCAAACCAACGUAAAAUUGAAUUAGCCUUUUUUAUAUAUUCAAUGGAUUUUUUUUUUACCUUAGUAGGUUUGGAUACAUGACACAUAAUUUUUAUUCAAAAUAUAGAUUUCUAUAUUGUAUGUGUAGCAUGCAACCAAAUUUACUUGUGCAAAAGAGUUUCUAUGGAAUAGAAAAGAUUAAAUUUUUAAAAUUUGAAAUAAACAAAUCACGAAAAUUGAGAUAUUUGAUUUGAUUGGUCAAUUGAUAGAAGAAAGAAAAAUUAAAAAAGGAAUUUGAUUUUAGGAGAGAAAAAUGAUUAUAAUAUUUGAUUUGAUUGGUCAGUUGAUAGAAAAGAUUCGAAUACUCUUCAGUGGGUAAAUCCAAAUGUGCAAUUGCUUAAUAAAUUCUCUUAAAUUGAUUAUUCCAAAUAGAAAUUGUAUUCUGAUCGAAAAUUAUGUAGCUUAUUUGUGCCAUGUAAUAAAGGAAAUUCCAUCUCUAGUUGGGUGUUUCGAUUCGGAUAGGAAGAGAGUAAUGCAUCCCACGGGCCAGCUCAAGAAAAGAGAGCUUUGGCAUAUCUCUUUUCUCUCUUGCUUAGUUUUUUUUUUUUUUUUUUUUUGUUUUUGGAAGGAUGUUUUGACAACAAAUUCAAUCUCUAAUCAUCUAACCUUUAUAAAUCGUUUACUUUAAAUUGCCAAAUUGUACAUACAUGUAACGGGACCAUGGACAACUUUUAAGAAUAAAAAAAAAAAAGAAAAGAACAAAAAGGAUUACUACAUAAAUUGUACUCGACAAACUAACCUAAUUAUUAUCAAAAUUAUUUAUCACUUGAACUGGACUGUUGGACAAACUGGUACCAAGAAAGAUACAAAAAAAAAAAAAAAAACCCAGCCCACAUAUGAUUUUUUUUUUUCUCUUUUUGGUUAAUCCCAGAUGGGGUAGUUUACUAAAAUGUAGGAGAGGCAAAAACCUGACCUCCAAUCGUAUGUAUAUGAGGCCUGCGCAUGAUUAAGAUCAUCGUUAUUUUCGUUGUGGAUGUAGAGAGUUAUUUGGGGCAAACUUAUUAGCAUAAACUUUAGCAGUGGGGGCCUUUUUGGUAUUGUUCUAAAAUUCCUAUCAAUUUUGUACCUUUGUGAUCAAUUUAAUAUCAGAUUUUAUAUCAUAUUGGCUGUCCUGUUUACAUAAAGGUUGCAAGUUUAGCUGACAAUCUCGUUUGUCACCUUCAAACUUUAAAAAAUGUCACUUGUCUCCUUUACUUUAAGCUUUUUAUAUCAUUUACAACUCGUUUUAAAAUGUAAUAUUAAAGAAUUCAUUUUGGGAAAGUAAAUAUACUCUCAUUCCAAAUUUGCUUUUUUUGUUGUCUUUCUUUUUAUUCCCAAAACAGUAAGUAUAUUAUUAACAAAUAAAAACAAAAACAAAAUGUAUGAAUGUUUAUUCUGAUUGGACAAAAUAUAUUGUAUUUUUUGAAUACCAAAAGUUAAUAUUUUAAAGUUUAUUUGAAAUUUUUGCAAAUUAUUAAGAUAAUAUUUUUUUUACUGUAACUGCUUUGAGUUAAUUUAAGAAGUUCUGUAAAUCUUUUGCAUAUUUUUUAGUUUUCUAAUUUUUUUCCAAGUCGAUGGUUUGAAAGUAAAAGAUACAACACCAUAAAAGUGAUAUAUAAACUUGUUUGUGUCUUACUUUAAGCUGGUGCAAAAGUUAUUCUUAUCGUUGUAAAUUAUUGCUAGUUAUCUCUAAGAGUAUUAUAAAUCAUUCAUAAAUUUAAGUGAUUAGUAUUUCUUGUCCGAUCCAAUGACACUAAAACAUUAAAGAGUUUUUCAAUCUUACAAUCAACUUUUGAAUUUUUAUUAAAGAACUACAUCGAUCAAUUUACAAAAAUUAAGAGAUAAAAUUGAUGUGUUAUGAUAAUUAAAAAAUCACAUCAAAAGGAUAAAUUUGGAACAAAAUUGUAUUCUCUUUCCCAGAAUGAGUUUUUUAAUAUUAUAUUCUAAAACGGGUUUCAAAUUUACAAAAAAGUUUAAAGCAAGGAAAUCAAGCGAGAUUUUUCAAAAUUUAAGGGCACCAAGUGAAAAUGCUACACACCUCAGGGGAGGUUUCUGAAAGUAUACCCUUUUUCAUUCAAGACUUCAGAAUAGGCUUUCAUGAGCAAUGAGCCAGCAUGCAGUAAGUGGGUGGCACAUUUUGAUCGAAGUAGUACAGAAAUUCUGCAGUUGUAGCUAUACGCUCAUUUGGUGGUGGACCGAACAGUAAUUCUGCAGUUGUGCAUUUGUUCAUAUCUUUCUCAUCAGUAAACAACUAAGCAUUGAAAACAACUAAUGGGUAAAGGCCAGCUAAGCAUUGUCCCUUCACCGUUCAGUGAACUGAAUGGGGCAGUCCAAAUUCACUAACUCCGGCUUAACACAGCAGCAGCAGUAAACCAAGUAUCUCCUCUCAAGAUAAUGUAAUAAUCGCAUGGACAAUGUUACAAACACAUGGUAUACCCACGGCGCAACUAUGGUGGUUCUAACUAGUAUACUAAGGAAGACAAAAAAUCGGCAAAAAAAAAAAAAAAAAACUUACCUUUGAAGAAGUUACCUACCUAACCUAACACAGGGGUCCAACCAGUACACUGGGGAAGGACAAGAAAUCAAUAAUAAAAAGCUGCAGUAAAGAAGAUGCCUAGCUGUUCAUGUGAUUUUGUCGCGAAACUCGUUACCAAGAACGUACGUGCUGCUGCAUUCAUUAACCCAGUGUGAAGGAAUGCAUGCAUGCAUCAAAAUCAGUCGGCAACAAGGUCCCCCCCACUAUAACUUCUUUGUACGACCACCACCCACCAUUUCAACUCUAGCACCUAACGUUCGUAAAUGAUGAUCAGCUGUCAAAUUUUGAAUUGGAAGCAAUCCAAGGGUGCACAGAAGAUGGCUGGACCAUUUACCACGAAGUUCGCGCUUAGCUAACAGAACAAAAGACCACCAAGUUGCCUACCCGGACGCCAUGCGUCAGGUACCUAGAUUCGUUAUUUUGCUGCUGUGUCAUGUUUGUGGUGUGUUUUUUCCUCACUGUACGGAGAAACAGGACCUUUGAAAUCAGGGUUAUCUAACAUUCUUCAUAUAGCAUUAAUUAUUGCAUCGUUAAGCCAACGUUGGACUUAGACUGUUAAGUAAAAUUAAAUUCAAUUAAAUUGAUCAAUUAUACUUUGAACUUUAAUGUAUCUAAUAGGACGUGGUUCUUUAUUUAAAGGUAAUUUAUAUUUCUAUGAUGGGUUGAAAUUGGAAUCUAAAAGAUAAUAGUAAAAUUAUCUAUAAAUAGGGUUACGAUACCCGAGUUACACGUAUUCCUAAAUAAGUUUAUGCUAACGGUGAUAAAGCUAACGGUGAUAAAAGACACGUUAGUUUUAUGUUUAGUGGAUUUUUUUUUUAUUUUACAUUAGUAGGUUUGGAUGCAUGACACAUAAUUUUUUUUUCAAAAUACAAAUUUCUCUUUUGCAUACAUAGCAUGCAUCCUAUUUUACUUGUGUAAAAGAGUUUCUAUAGAAUAGAAAAUAUUAAAUUUAUAAAAUUUGAAAAAAAAAUCAUAAAAAUUGAGAUAUUUGACGCUGGCUCGGCACUAAAACCAACUUUUGAACCAAGAAAAACCAACCCCAAACGCAAAGCUAAAUCACAAACGGAGGCAAUAGAAUCAAGUCAUCGAGAUCUGCAAACAUGGCUAUAGAUUUUUUUUUUUUUUUUGGGACGUGCAAGACCUUCAAGCACUGUUAGCCGUCCCAAUCAAUUUUUUUUUGGGACAUACAAGACCUUUGAGCAUUUCGUUACUUGUGGUUUGGAAAAACUCUCACGUUGUUUAUAUUAAUUUCAAAACUUGAAAUCGACAUCCUAAAGGUGUAAGGGCGAAUCUUUUUGCCUUAUAUAUUCUGGACAAGUUGCAAAUAUGAAGCAAAAGAUUUAGGUCGGAAGAAAAAAAGGUGUGAAGCAGAUGAUUAUGUAACGAUUUGACAUUAAAAAAAUGCAGGCAUCUUCGUACUGUGAGAAAUGAGUAACUUUAGAUUGAAAAAGAAAAUUAGAAAAAAGAUUAUGUAGCGAUUUUAUAUAUAUACAAGCCCACCGCUCCACAUGGGCAUCACUGAUCUCUAAAGAAGCCCAACCCAGGAAACACCAAAAGGCCCCAACACCCCUGCAAUUCACAGAGGCAACAACAUAACCAAACCACUGCAACUGUUCACUACUGUUUAUAUAUUCAUCCCCACUUUUACAUAGGUAAGGUAAGAUAUAUACUCUCUUUAUAAUUUUUUGGCAUAUGCGUGUGUGUGUGUAGAAUAAGCUUAUGACAUAGGUAGAAUUUCAGCAUUCAAAUCCAACUUAAAAUAUUUGUUUUGAGCAAACAAGGACGGAGUCUAAAUAAUUGGACUUGGAUAUUGAGAUUUCGAUUUUGGUGUGACAUUAUGAUAUCGGAGCGAAUCUUCUGUAAUAUCUGCAUGAGAUGAGAUUGGGUCAGAGGACGCAAAGCCUAAAAAAGAGGGAUAAAAGUAAUACCCCAUCUCACGUCGAAUAAGUUAGUGCUAUAAACUAAUACAAUACACAAAUAGUGUGUGAGCAUUCAAAUCUAAUUUAAAAUAUCCAUUUUGAAUUAGUGAGAAUGAAAAUCAAAUAAUUGGACUUGGCUGCUGAAACUCAGGUCGCGUCUUGGGCAUACGUGCCUAGGGCGUCACAGGACUCAGACUGAUAUAUAAGUAGAGGUGGCAAUUUGGAUUGAAAUCCAUUUAUCCAUCCAUAUAAUCCAUAACUAAAUGGAUUUGGAUUAUCCAUUUAUAAUGUUGGUUUUAAAUGGAUGACCAAAGUAAAACCAUUAAAUUAAAUGGAUUUAUAUGGAUUAUCCACAAAAAUCAUAUAUAUCCAUUUACUUAAAAACUAAAUAAAAGAAACCUGUUGCAUGUUUUUCAACUCUAUCUCAUUCCUCUGUUCUUUAGUGUUGGCUUCCUCCGCGUUUAUUCCACCGGCCUUAUGAACACGUUGAUGAUGAUGGCAACUAGCAGCCGCCAUCAAAUCAUAAACGUGGUGUCUCAAUUUCUGCUAAUUCAAUGAUAUACUAGUUCCGACCUUUUAACUCUUUUACCGCAGUGAAAAUGUUUAAUUUUGGACAGAAAAUAAAGAAAGCAACUAGUGCCUUGCCUGCUUAAGUCUGUGCUCAGCAGUGACAAAUACAGAAAGACAGCCUUUACCUUUCCAGUAUGACCAAAUGCUUGUGUUGCAUUCUGGUUUUAAGCCAACUUAAGGAGCCAACUUAAGGAUUAAGCCUUGAUGGGUGGGAGAUCAAGAGUUUAAAUAUUACCUCCUAUUAAUUGUCACAAUAUGUGAUUUUUUUCAAAAAAUUCAUACGGGUGUGGUUUAGUCCUCCGUAAGCCCAGUUGAACCUCUCUCCUUAGAUUAUGAUGUGAUUUAGUCCCCAUUAAUCCCUCAUUAAUUACCAUAUGGCUAUUUGUACAACAAUCUUCAUGGUUAGUUCCAAUUAUUUUUGUCAUUUAUUGAUUUUUGUCAUUUUCAACACCUAAAAUUUACAAGUACAUAAAAAAGUAUUUUCAUAUUAUAAGAAAUGGUAAUAAAAAAAAAGUAACCAAAAUAUUUAAAUGGAUUAUAAAUGGAUAAUUGGUUUUUAUUUAAUCCAUUUAGAUCCAUCCAUUUAGAUCCAUUUAAUAAAUGGAUCUAAAUGGAUUGGAUAAAUUUCAUCCACCAUCCAUUAAGUCAAAACCAAUUAUGAACCAUUUAUCCAUAUUGCCACCUCUAUACAUAAGCAUCAAAGAACGGUCAAGGCCCCAAGCGGAUGAAGAACCUCAUAUAUUUACAAGGCUGAAUAUAAAAAACGGUUAUCUACAAUAUUCCAAACACUUUUAUACCAACUGAAGCACGUACCGUUGAAAUCUAAACGGCAAGACACUCAAUUUGGGUAGAGAAAUGUCUCUGUUGUUGUUCAGGAAAAUUGUCAUUUUCUUGAAUAAAAUAGCAAUCUGAAGCAAGUUUAGAUUACAAGAAUCCUCUUAAACAGCCGUAGUAUGAGACUGGUAUGUAAAUAACCAGGCAGCCUCUCCAAGUACGUACUCAAGCUAUGUACAUUUUACCUAGAACAUUUUCCCUAUUGCUACAGAGCUAGAAAUAAGGAUGGCAAUAGGGGUGUGGAUUGGGGCAAGGCGGGUUCGGGGGAAGGAAUUUUUUCCCCCGGUUUAGAAAUGGGGUAGGCCCUGCUCCAUCCCCUACCCCGCCACUCGCUACCACAACCACCCUCGUGUGAACAGAUCCACAAUGAGAAUCUCAUUUUCAUGUAGCUAUUUUCUUUAAGUUUCAACAGAAGUUAAUGGAACAAGAAUCAAACUUCUCAAACCCUACUUGGAUGUUCAUCCAAAUAUCAGUAGUACUAUUAAUUUUAUCAUCAAUUAUGGUUUUCCAACUUCUCUUGAUUUUCGGGGCUUUCAUUCUUCUCGUUAAAAUGCCGGCCUUGUUCAGUUAAUUCGUCCGCCUGAUUUUUCAUCUUUCAAUCAAGAAACGGUUCAAAAAUCCCUCCGGUUGUUCCCUUCUCUGUAAUGCAAUGAAAUCAUUAAUUGUCCAAUGAAGUCAUGGGAAGAAACUCGGUAACUGGUUGGGAACCUGGUAUACAAUUUCAAAGAUUCUCCAGCCGAUAAAUCAAUUAAUUAACAAUAAGAUUAAUUAGAAGUCCAGAUUAAAGUUGCGGUAUUCCUAGCAAGAUCCUUCUGCUUUGGAGUGAAAUCUGCUGCUACUUGAAAUAUGGUUGAGAAUGCUUGUCAUAUCAUAGAAAUCAUUUCCAAUUAAUUAGGUAGUGCUCUUUUUCUAUAUUGAUUCAAUGAAACAACAAAAGUAAUUUUUAAACUUUUUUUAUUUUUAUUUUUUGAUGAUCAUAUUUUUCAAGUGAACCUAAGACGUACAAGCACAAAUGAAAGACUUCAAAGUCAAAUACGAGUUUCGAGUUUCAAAACACGAUAGACUUACCAGCUGAACCCGGUUGGGUCUCGUCUCGUGGAGCAAAGUAUUUUUUUCAUGAAAUAACGGAUCUAUAAAUAAAUUCAGCAAUAGCCCACAAGUCCACAAACUAGACCAAGAAUCGAUGAGGUCCCUACUUACCAUUUUUCACUUUCGUAGUUAAGUUUCUUGCGGAAAGGCCCAGAAGCUUGUCAAACCCAACCUUAUUUUAUCUUAUACUCUAUUGGCUUUUAUUGAUAAACAAGUAGGCUUCUAUUAAAAAGAGUAGGCGUCUAUUAAACUCCAACUAUAUUUCAAAAAAAAAAAAUUAUUGGAGUCUUGUAUUUUUUGGAUGGAAAAUAAUUCAAUCCUUUUCAGGAUGUCAAGUGUAUUAGAGCGUCAUAUAAUGUUUCUCCCUAAUUUCAAACUUUGUAGAGGGAUUUUUUUUUUUUGGAGUCCUCACAAUCAACUUCUUUUACAAAUCUUUUCUUUUAUAUCCUUUUGUCCCCCCAAGUCCCAAUUGAGCUAUUAAAAAAAAAAGCAUUUUUAUAAAACAUGUCCCGUCAAAGGCGUAAUCUUACCAUGUUAAAAUUCAGAACUUUAAACAAACGCCUUUAUUAUUGGAUUUUCCCCUCAUAAAAGUUGCUAGCCUUUUUCAUCUUUUCCAUAAAACAAGUUUCAACUUUGAAUCUUUCAUCAAAUUAAAUAUAACUACAGCUUGUGCUAUUUUUAGAACCUCACUUUACUCAAUAAUUUGACAAGUUAUUGUUGACUUUUGUUUAUUGUUCAAGUAGUGAAAUUUUUAGGAGGAUAAAAUUAAGAAAAAAAAAGAUGAUAUAAACUAAUACACAAGUAAACCUUCUUUUCUACCAGAGCUUUCCCGAAUAGUUGUUUCCCGAAUGUUUUAAACAAAGAUGCAUAGAGCAACUUGAAGCAGAUCUGAAAAUUAAAAUUGAAGAGAAAAUCUGACUACCCAACGUUUUGUAAUGGAGUAGCUUACUUUUAAUGGAACCUUUUUUUUGUUUAAUACCAAAAAAGGGUUAGUAUGCACAUAGCCCUUGUUUAGUACAGUUUAUGACACGAGAUUUAGUUGCAAAAAAAAAAAAGUUUAUUUAAAAAAAAUCCAAUAAUUAUGCAAUGCAAGCUCAUCUAGAUUUCUUCAACUGGCAAAAGUACAUUAGUUCAUACAAUGUUCGUAAAAUUUCAAAGGAAAACUUUAAUUUCACAAAGUGCGGCCUAUGAAUAGAUUCACGGAGCGCUUUUACAAAUUGUCUUUGCACAUAAUCGGAAACUGAAGAAGACGUGCAUGUACAUUAUUACGUAAAAAAGGGUCUAAGUCCGGAUGAGCCGAAAAAGUAAAAAUAAUAAAAAAAAAAAACCGAAGGAAACUUUGUCCCAAUGGGUACCCAUUUAUUACUCAAAUAUUCGCAUUAGUUGUUUGAGAUAAUCCCAUUUAAGGCCCAAUUAAUCUGUUAGAGUCUAUCCUGCACAAAAUCCCUGGGACAUGGACAGGUCAUUCGGACUUGAAAUCAUUUGCCAUCUUUAGUUGUUUGAAACCAUCAAAUGGGUGGAGAACACGACAUCACUUGUUAUAUUUGACAAUUGAAAGGGAAAGAUUACCACCAAACUAAAUUACAAUCAUAUGAGCCAGAAUUUGGAAUUUGAAUCAAAAAUCAUAUCCCUAAGUACAGAAUUUGGAAUCCAGUAGUUCACUUUUCAUACAACCGAUCAAACGUUUAAAUUAAAUUGUAAAAUUCUAUGAGCCAUUUUUCGUUUUCGUUUACAGAAAAAGUCCAAUUCUACAACAUGGAACUUGUACAUACAAUUAUGCUAACCUCACUUAAUAUUUCUUGGCAAGGAUGAAAAGAUUAACCAUCAAAUGAAUGUUCUUUUUAAAGAAACUUGGUGCAUUAUAAGUUCAGAUUGAUACACAGAAGGAGCUAUUUAGCAAGAAUUAAGAUUGAACAUCUUUUUCUGAGCCCUUGAGUUUAUGUGACAAUGUUCACCUUUGUUUCUCUUGCUUGUCGCCACAAGCACUGGUUUGUCAUUCCUUUCAUUUUCUCCAAAAUUAAUUAUUUAUCUUAAUUUUCCAAAUGUGUGGUAACUCAAUCACUGGGAGUUCCUAAUUGGUUAUCCUGGAUUUGCACCGUGCCAAGUCCAAUGUGUGGUAUCUCAAUCAUUUUACCGUAAAGAAGUUCUUUGAUUUUCGUUGUUUCAUUGCUUCGCACGUGAAUUGAAUAUUUGUCUGGAGAAUUAUGCAGCUAAAACGGGAAAACACUUCAAGGACAGAAAACCAUAGACCGUGAACCCCAAAAAAAGGGGCAAAAAAAAACCGAUAACUAGUCCCGGUUACCUUGAAAUGCUGGAAAACCAAAAAGCUUUUACCAAAGAAGUUGCUGAGACUGAUGAUGAGCUUCCAAACCAGGAAAUUCCUUGAAACUUUCCCCUUUUUUCUGCUUCAACUUUGUGGACUGGUAUUGAUUAACAUUGCAAGUAGGGAGAUGAAUGAAUGAGGAAGCAGUCAAAUUAGUGAGAGCGGAUAAAAAUUGAGAAUUUGGCUUGGGUUCCAACGUCCAGAGACGUGGACGUACAAUUUCAAGGAGAAAAGUCAGUGAAAUUUUUUAAACAUACAUUUCUUUUGUGUCCUUUCCAGCCUAGCCUUUUCUAUAUAUGGCAUCAUCAACCAUGACUUGCUGAUGUAUAUGAUCAGUAAAGAAAAUUUAUAGAUAUUAAAUCAAGAGAAAAGAAAACAAAAAAUCAAAAGUCAGCUUUCAAAAUUUUCUAUAAACUUAUCUGUGGCUUAAAUAAGGCAAGAAUUGAGGCAAAUCUUGGUAUGCUAUUGAAUUGAAAAUGCUGAAAAUCACGACGAUCACAAGAAUAUGAACUGCAAAAAUUUGUGACGUCGACCAAGCUGAAGGACUUCUCACCUCAAGGUUCGCAUUCCCUUAUAUCUUGCAAAUAUAUUGCUUUGGGUCACUUUUCCAAACAUUACUCGCGGGAUUUUUUUACUUCCAUAAAUUUGUGGAUCAUCAUGGUGUGCAAUCUGCUGAGAACUGAUUUCCUUUAGUAGUUGACUUGAAAGGUAAUAGUUUCAACAAAUAGUCCAAUAUCAUAUAUAACAUUUAUCUUUCUCUUUAUGCUUUGAUCUAUAAGAUAUCAGACUUUUUCUUUAUAAAAAUAAAUUUAGCAAAUGAUUGUCAAUUUUGUCUUACCUUUGAUUAGUUUACCACACACAUUCUCCAGUUGCGAUCUCAAUGUAACAUGUACGCAAGCAGUUUCUUUUCCUUGUUGGAUACUAUAAUAAUGUCCUCUGUAGCUGAUGGCUUGUUAACUUGAGACUUCAGCCAGCUAUUUGAGAAAUUCUCCUCUUUUUCUUGUUUUUUCCUCAUUCCUUUCGUCUCUCAUAGCAUUUGACUUUCUAUGUUGCAGGUAAUAUACUUUCUGAGAUUCCCACAGCAACAUCUGCUCAGCUAGGUAGGAGUACCUGCUGAUGUUCUAUUAACAAUAGCAGGUCAUUUCCUUUAUGGAAAUGAAAUCAAGGGUAAAUUACAUUUUACCCUCCUGUGGUUUUCGCAAAAACCACAUAACCCCCUCAUGAUUUUAAAAGCUAUACAUAAAUCCUCUGUGGUUUGGGUUGAAGUGUCAAAUAGACGGAAACUACCUAUCGUAACGAUUUGUGGGCGAAAUGUCCAAAUUACCCUAAUAUAAAUACAAAAAAGGCAACAACGAACACGGCCGGGGCUUCCCUUUCCUUUCAUUACUUCUUUCUUCACAACGAAAGGAACCGCGUCCGCAACAGUCAAAGUGGUGGAAGGCCCACCAGAGUCAAAGGGAGAGCUUUCUGCACCUCUCUUCAAGAGAUAGGAUUCCGGUUUCUGCAUCUUUCUUUCUCCCAUGCUUUUCCGUUGGUCAACUACCAAAAAAAGCCAUUUCUGAAACAAGAGCUCUAGUCAUGGUUUCAUGCUGUAUGGGAGCUGCUGAUUGUCCCUGUCUAGGCCCCCACCAGUGAUUCCAUACUGCCCUUCUCCAUUGUUACCUUCGCUGCCAUGACCAGUACUACUGCUGCCAUAUCUUAAGCCAGGGCCCCUGCACCAGCCCCUGCCGUAGCCAUAGCUGCUGUCCCAACUCCCUUGCCUGCUGCUUGCACCAAGACCAUAGCUACCACCAUUCCAUCCAUCACCAUUACCGCCGCCAUUUUGACCAUAUUUACUGCCUGGACCACCACCUCCACCCGAUCCGACCCACCACCAUUACCACCUACAGAGCCAAAUCCACUGCCGUCAUUGCUGCCUCCGCUUCCAGCCCCAUAACCACCACUAUUACCAUCAACAGAGCCAUAUCCAUUGCCGUCAUUGAAAGAGAUAAGGAGCACAGAUCUAGGCUUUAUUGUAUCCGUUAAAGUGGUCAAGGGUAAUAUGGGAACGUUUCUUACUGUUACCAGUAGUACAAGCGCGUGUAAGACACGAAUCGUCACGAUGGAUGUUUUCCGUUUAUUUGACACUUUAACCCAAAUCACAGAGGGUUUAUGUAUAGCUUUUACAAUCAUAGGGGGGUUAUGUGGUUUUUGCCAAAACCACAAGGGGGUAAAAUGUAAUUUGCCCUGAAAUCAACUAGCAUUCAGUUAAAAGUUCACUAAAUUGAGUAAUCCUUUUUUUAGCAGAUAUUAUCCUUCUUUCUAUGUCAUCAGGCACUUAAAGAUGACCCUUUGACCCCUUAAAACAAUGAAAAAAACGGAUGUCCUGACUUUGUGAUAUUUGUUAAUCAUUUUCAUUAGAAGAAUAAUUUUAGGUGAAUCACCAGCUGAUGUGGUUACAUUAUCUGAAACCACAUUCCUUCCUUUACCUCAUCGUACAGCAGCUGAUGGUAUAUUUCCUGCCCUAGACCAAUUUCUGUUUGUCCUUUGUUCCUUUAUUGGUUGCAUUUAACCGAGUUCUUUGCGGUGUGAAGACUCUGAAUUAGGCUCAAACUGAAAUCAAUUAACUAUAAAUUGGAAAAUAAUUAGUUAUGAUUGUUCCUUGAUUGAAAGUUCUUAACCACGAUUUUUCCUCUUCAUAACUGGCCAUCUCAAACAUACUGUGAUUUUUCACAACAAUAGUCAAUACCAUAUCAGAUGACAUAUAAAGUGCAUGGCUCUUGCAAGACAAAACUGCAUCUGAUUUUUUUUUUUGUUUUUGUUUAAUACAGUUGUUUCUGAAAAGGAAAAAAAAUCAUUCCAUUCAAGUUUGAUCUGUUUAUAACCAAAGAAGUACAACAUAAAAGGCUCAAGUCACAUAGAAAAGUUGAUGUAAAAGCUUCUUCUAUUCAUUUAUUCUAAAUGUAGAUACUUAACUCCAGAAGGGAUUUAAAUGUUAUUCUGAUCCUUCUUUAACAUGCACGUACAAUCUAUAAUUGCUAAAGAAUUAUCAGUGGAACUGGAUAUAUAAUUGCUUGAAAUAGAAAUCAGAAAAAAGCACAUACAUAUAAUGGUUUAAAUUGAUAUUGUGAAAAAACAUUCUUGGAGUACGUUUUUGUUGAUAAUCAAGGAAUAGUCACAAAAAACUGUAUCACUGCUCUAGUUACAAUCAAGUAUAGAAAAAACAUCGUCUAGGUAGGGAUAGAAAGCUAAACAUGAUGAAAAACAGCAACUGUAAUACAGCUAAAGAAGAAGCAUGUACUGAAAGAAAUUUGGCGCUGGUGGACAAAGCUUCAUUUAACACUUGUUUUUGCAACAUAACCUCUCUUGCGGCGGCAAUUUUGUGGCUACCUGAGAAAUAUUGGCAAACAACACUUGAUCAGUAUAGUCAGAAACACAAAGCAAAUUCAUCCAUGAUACUAACCCAAGUACAAUCAUGGAAAUUACAUUGUAAUUCUACUUCCUUCCAACUUAUUGUGGCUCUCAAUAUGAAAUUUCGAAUUUAAACAUAUGCCAACAUGUAUACCCUUUAACUUUAUCUAGAAAGCCUGUUAAGAGAAGGGGAAAAACAAGACAACUUUCAAUAGCGGAAAUGAAAAAAAAGAAAAUAACAAACAAACAAGAAGAAGGAAAGAGAUAGAAAAUAAAAUAUUUAAAUUUACAGAAAUAAGAAAAUAUUAAAAAAUAUUAAAAAGCUGUAUGCAGUAGAUUAUCAACAUAAGUAGAUAACGUGCGAAGAGCUGUGAUGACCUGGAGGUUUUCGUCGUCCUCUCACGUGCCGCGCAUGUGAUUGAGAGCGUUGUUUUCUUCAUCGCGCGCUUCUUCUCCUCUGCCGGUACCCAUGUGCCUCCUGCUGCUUCGCAUUAAAAACUUGUUUCUCAACCUGCUGCUGCGCAUCCUGCUGCGUCGUCUGUCACGUUGAUAGACUUGUUUCUCUAUCUGGCAGUAUCACAGGCCCCUUCUUCCCAAUGCAUUCUCUCUCUCCUUCUUUUUUGGACAAUGUUGCUCUGUUCUUACCCCUUGUACAUGAGCGUGUUGAGAUGGCCGGUUCUCUUCUUACCAAGCAGGGAGUCUCGAGCCUCGUUCUCUCGCGUUCUCUGGGUUGCAGUGGUCCGGACGUUUGGUUCUCCUCCUCUUCUCCUCCGUUGUGAGUUUUCUUCUUCUUCCUUUUUUUUUUCUCCUUUCCGGUGAAGUACAUCUUCGUUGUGAGCUUUCUGCCUGAAGGUGAUGUUUUUGUCCUCUGUUCUUUGUUUCCCUUCUCGAGCCGCGCAAGGAGUAUCGGUCCUCUGUUGCUCGGGUUCUCUUGGUUUCAGUUGUCCAGAUCAGCUGCCAUCCGGUCGGUGCUCCUCCUCCUUCUCCAUCGUAAGUUUUCUUCUUCUUCCUUUCAGGCGAGGUGCGGUCUUCGCUAUGAGUUUUCCUCUGUAAUUUUUAACCUGGGGACUGAUGUUUUUUGUUCUUUUUUCCAUUGUUUCCCUUUUCGAGUGGCUCCUGUCUUGCUCUCGGGAGAGGUUCGCUCUUGCCAGCCGUUUGGUUCAUCUCCUCCUCGUUCGUAGUAAGUCUUCACCUUCCUUUCCGCUGAGGACCAUCCUUCGUUUUGCCUUUUCUCUGUAUUUUAAGCCUAGAAUUGCUAUUUUCGUCCUUUGCUGCUUCCCUCCGAAUGAGGGUUACUGUUCACAAGCUUUUGGUCGUCCUCACGAGCCUCCCACGUGAUAUAGUAUAAGGAUUCUCUCUCCAAACUUUUCUCUUAUCUCAAUUCUUUACCGAUCCUUUCUCUUUUUCUAUAGUUUCUGCUAGGAUUUUUGUGCUCUCCCUCUGUUGGUCUGCUGCUCCUCUUUGUUCUCAAAAAAAUUUUCUGAUCUCUCUUUUCCUUCUCAUUAUCUUAUCUCUUUCUCUUUCCUUUUAUUUCCUUCUUUCCUUUCCAUUAUCUUAUCUCUUUCUCUUUCCUUUUAUUGAUAUUCAUAUUUGCUUCUAUCUUUUUCUUUAAUAUGAUCUCAAGCAGAUCUGCAUUUUUUUCAUUAGAAAUAGUUAAUAUAGAGAUUAAUGGUGAAUAAAGCUCCAUCGCCAUGUUAGUUGGCUAUUCCUAUACUCAACAUUGGUAAUUCUAUGGUUUUACUUCCUUGUGUUUUUUUCUUUUUUUUUUUAAAUUAUUGUAACUGAUUUAAACCUUUCUUUAGAAUGAAAAAUGUGUUGCAACUAAAGAUGAUUAAAGCCCCAUGACUACAAUCAGCAGCUAGCCAUAUCAAGCAACAUGCUCUACCAUCGGUAAUCCCUCAUUACUUCCUUUUUUCUUGAAAAAAAAUUAUAUUAUGGUGAUAUGCUCGAAUUCUCCCUUUUUCUGACAUUAAGCGGCAUAGAAACAAUGCACUUACGGAGUAAUAAUUUUAAGAAGUAGGAAAAUGGGUUGUUCGAUGGAAUUUUGAAAAAAAUGUUACUGCCGAUAAUGCUCUGUUUGACGCUUGAAUCAACUAUUGUGUAUGACAAGAAAAAAGGCUGAUAUUUUAGAGAGAUCGAUUUCCCACAAAGAAAAAAUGAAAUUAAAGUCUGCGCACUCAAUUAUUUCAAAAUUAUUAUUUAUGUACAGUUCACCUCUUUUCUAUUUCUUGUUCGAUAUUUGGUAAUUUGAGUGGUGUUUGUGAUUUUGUGGAGUCUUCAUUUAACAUCCAUCACCUUGAUUUGAAGGUGACCAAAAUUCGUUGUUUGGUUUUUCUAUUAUAAUUAUUUGACCCCAUUUGGCACAGAUUAUAUUGUGUUUGCAAUUCCUUAUUCUGUAUCUUAAUUUUCCCAGGUGUUUUUUUGUUCUUUUCCUCCUGCACACAUUGUGCUUGUGAGACUGUUGGCCAGGUUUUACUUGAAAAGAAUCUAAGAUUAGGCAUUUAUUAUGACAUGACAAUAAUGCUAUACGUAGUUCACUUGCUUGAACCCUGACUUCAAGAAAGUUGGAUGGUUAAGAAUACCUAUGUCAGGUGAAGUAAUUCUCUAAAAAGCUUUUUAUUUGAUGUCAAUCAAAAUGGACUGUUAUUUUCAUGAAUUGAUUGAAGCACUUGCAAUGUACUUUAAUUUCUUUUUACUAAGUUUGCAUAUGUUUAAUUUCAUUUUCUAUUGAAUCACAUUAGAUUAGAUAGAUAGUCAAAUCUAAUGGGUCGGUUGGCCUGUGGUGCUUGUUCCCUGUGUUAAAUUCUUUUUCUUUUUCUUUGAGUUCAUUUUUUUAUGUUCAUUUGCUUUUCCUUUCUCACUUGAUCUGAAUGAUUAUGGUUUUGUGUGUUUUAAGUUUUAUGCCAAUUUUGUGUUUCUGAAAUUCAAGAAUUCUUGAUUUAUUGCUAUAUAAAUGUGCCUUGUAGGCUAGCUGUAUUGAGACUAUGGUAGAUGGUGUCCAAUUUGCUUGCAGAUUUUGGUAUUUGGCGUUAGUUUCUUGUGACCCUUUCUUUAAUCUUUUUUCUUACUGAUGUUUGAAUCGUGCCUUGAUUUUGUUUUUCCUUUUUUUAAAAUCCAGUGAGAUAAGUCUAUGAUCGUCUUAGAGAGUGCUUUUCAAGAGACAUAUUUAAACUUCCUCCCUAUUAAGUGUUCACUAUGUGCAGGAGAAUAACAGCACAUGUGGGUGUUAUUUACUUAUAAGAUUAAUUACAAAACAUGCUUGUUUUUAAUUACAAGUUGUUCCAGAUUUUCAGACCAAAGUAGCAGCAGUACUACUUUUUCACUUAAUUAGUUCAUGCUCUAAAGUUUUGGUUUUUUACUAACCAAUUUUAGGUUCAAUCUAGAUAGCCACUCAACCUAAUUUUUUGGUUUGUUGAAUGCAAGGCCAAGGUAUUUGCUCAUGUAUGCCCAAAAUACAGGUUUCAUUUUAGCUAAUGAAUCUUUAAUUCACAGGUCUACAAUGUUCCCGGAUUACUGAAGUUUUGUUAUGCCAAUGGCUAUCAUAUACAUAUUAGGAGAUGAACACAAGGACUAUAAUAAAUAGAGGUACACACAGAUCAUUUUCUAUGCUUGAGGUGAUAUAUUGUUGGUUAAAUGCCAUUUGGUAGGUUUAUUUAAAUGCACAUACUAGCAAAGAAUGUUAGGUUUUUCUAUGCCUCAACUCAUGCCUUUAUUUUGAUAUUAAGCAAUUGUUAAUGAAUACGAAGUUUAAUGAAUCUGAUUCAAUGCCUGUUGUAGUCUACCAAUUUUAUAACAUUAUUUUUGCAUGCAUUGAAGGUGCUCUUAGGUGAUAUCGAUAUUUUCCAAGCAGUAAAGAGGGUCUGGCCAUUUAUUUUCCCAUUUUGUUUUCUUUGAGUUGGACUUUCAACAUAUAAGACAUAGAGCCAAAGGGGGUUCUACUGUUCCAACUUUGGUUCAUAUCUGUGUAGUUAUGUUUGGUUGAGCAUACACUAUAUUAUUUAAUUGAAAGUGAAAUUCUAUUUAAGAAUACUGAUUAUGUAUCUGUGCAGUUAUGCUUGGUUGAGUAUACACACUAUAAUUCUCCCUAUUAACUUAAAAAUUAAUCUUAACUUAAUAUUCUUCAAUUUUAUUAGUGGCAGGGAUGAAAUGGUAAGCGUUAAUGAAAUGGCUGAUAUGGUUCUCUGUUUUGAAGCCAUCCAUCCACAUUGCACUGGGUGUUCAUGAUUGUAACUCAAAUUACACUCUCAACAAGGAAAAAACUUGGUUGGGCCUUCAACUAUGAUAUUGAAGGUAUUUAUAUUGAGCAUUACAUGGUCAGGCUUCAUAGAUUCCAAGCCAACUUUUACUUUCUUAAAACCUUGAUUUCAUUUGUUGUGUUUUUGGUUCUUCACUGGUAUAAAUAGGAUGAUAACUAACUGUUCCCUAUUGUAAUUUUAAUAGGAUGGGCUGAUACUUACAUCUAAAAAGGAGAAAGCUUAUGGUGUAGAUUUAUCAUGGGACUUCUAAGACAUUCAAAACCUAGGCUCAAGUGCAAUUUGGCUCAGUUUGUGUUGCUGAUGGCGACUGACGAGUGACCUUAUAGUUGUUUAUGCUUAAUGAAGUGAAUUUCUGUUGCAUGUAAUCGUUAUAGCAAGUGUCAAAAUAGAGAAAUGUAACAUAAUAGUCUUCUUUUUAGCUACUAAGGCAAACUGUAUAUGCUGCCUAUGUGAAAAGGGUGCAAGUUUUCUCAUACUAUAUGUAUCUAGCUUUCUUUGACAAGUUUGUGAUGAUUUGAGACCGUAUAUUAGUUUUUGAAAUGCUUGUCAUGUUGUUGAUGUGCAUUAGUAAUUGGCUUGUGUUAUCUAACGAAAUCAAUUUCUUUUUUAUUUUUCAAAUUAUAUUACAUAUUACAGAUGCUUUAUGGGCAUUCAUGAUAAAUUGCAACCGCGCAGCGCGCGGUCCAUGCCUCCUAGUAUGGAUGAAUAUAAGAAAGGGUGUAGUUCGUAGUUCAGCAUUAUAGGAAAGGUACCCAGUAGAGGAAAACUUAAGCCUUUCAGAGAACAUGCAACAGCUUAAAAUGGAAAAAGAAAAUAACACAGGGAAAUUUAUAAUUAUGUUGAACUCAAAAAUAAAUAAGAAGAGAGAAAGAGAAACUAAUAUACUUAAAUCCAUUUUCUCAUCAGAUCAACUCAAAAGGUGUUAGCAAUUCUGCACCUCAAGAAAGUUAAAAAAAAAAAAAAAAACCUUGAGCUCAUUACAAAAAGUGUUAAUCUCGAUUCCUACACAAUCGCAAAUUCUAUGCUAGUGGAGAAGCAGAUCAUUUUGGGGAAGAAAGCUCAAAGAAAGGGGAUAGUUGGUAACAUUUAAGGAAGGGGAGAAAACACGUACAUGAGAAUCCGUCAGGAUUUUGAUCAAACAGGUGGUCUUCAUCAAAGAAAUGGGAUCCGCUACUGCGUGGUAAAAUAUGGGUCAAGGGCAUUUUUGGCACAAGGAUUUUCCCACUCUAACGAUUCCCACCACUCUUUAUCUCCCUUGAUUUUAUGAAGAGUGCUAGGAAGAGAUGGUAGUCCGUUGAUGGUAGGAAGAAACAAAGGCAGCCUCUUUGCCUUUGGACAACCGGAUAUUUCAAUCUGACAGAUUGAAUUGCAGAUCAAGGCUGCCUUGCAAAUAUUAUUCAAUUGUGGCAGCCAACACAGAUUCAAAAACUUUAAUUUUGGAAGGAUGACUGUGGCGGUGGCUCCACUUGAAGUCAAUUGGAUGCCAUCUGCUGCUAUCUCCUCCAGUCCUUCACAAUCUUCAACUCCUAAUAUUUCAAGAUUUUGAAGGUUCUGCAGCAACUGCAGUGUGAAUAGCUGCUUCAUGUUGUGACAUCUAGAAAUCCACAAUUCUUUAAGGGAAGAAAAGGUGCUAGCUGGAAGCAAAUAUGGUUCUGAGUCUCUGUAAAAAAGACCAACCAGAUUUGGCAACCCGUUGAGGCUUAGCACUUGGAGAUCACGGAGUGGACUAAAAGACGAGACUUCCAACUGAUCACGUGGAGAAGCAAAGGACAAUUGCCAGAGGAACUCUAUUCCAAUCAAAUCCUCAAUAACCAAUUUAGAUAAGUCGCUUAAAUUUGUAAAAUUCCUAAAAGCAUCUGACAAGCACCUAAUGACCAUGCCCUCACAAUCCUCGAUUGUCAGACUUUUCAUGUCAUCUGGCAGAUAGUUCCAUCCUCUACCAAGCUUAAACUGAUGGAAAUACAGUUGUUUCUCCUGGUCCUCACAAUCACUGUCCCCGUCAUAAAACGGAUCCUUAGUUAAGAUGUCAUUGAUAUAAACAUUAUAGUAUUUUGGCCACCGAGUAAUUUUAUAAAAGUCCGUAAAAGACAAACAUCCUAUAAAAACUUCUAAUUGGUUCAACACUUCUAAAUCCAUAACUUGUACCCUACCAUAUGGCAAUAAUAGCCAUUGAAGACGGUGAAAUUGGGAAAAUGUCCCUUUUGGUAUUAUCUUUCGUCUUAGAGCCCAACACUUACGCAAGUUAAGACUUUCGAGGUUGACCAGUGACUCCCAGCCUUCAGGUAAAUCCUCAAUCUCAGUUCUGGAUAGAUCCAAAUCCCUCAAUUGCUUGAGCUUUCCCAGUGGUGGCACAAAUCGGAGGCCUCCACAAC
This 46742-nucleotide long non-coding RNA is filed under the name Coffea arabica (coffee). RNAcentral's name for it is "long non-coding RNA (CARA_LNC003519)". Lineage: Eukaryota; Viridiplantae; Streptophyta; Magnoliopsida; Gentianales; Rubiaceae. The record is from RNAcentral.